UUAACACUCUUACGAGGCUUACCGACCAUUCCUAGCGCAAAUGGCAAAAGAAUUUAAUGAUUGGUAUUCGAAAUCCAAGUUCGAAUCUUAAUUGAUUCAUAUUUUCAGCUAAAUUUAUUUCUUGAUGAAAUAAAUGAAACGGAUAGCAUGCUAUAUUUCUCUCUCUCAAAAAAAAAACAACACUCUUACGAGACUUAGUUUUUGUUGGAACUUCGCUUUUGUUUUUAUCUCCAGUAAUAGUUAUAUUCAACAGGAUAUUUAUUAGAUAAAAAAGUUGACUACUUGUGUCAUAAUAAAACAAGGUACAUAUGAAGCUUUAAAACAAAAUUUUUAAUUUGGUAUAUGCUUUAAACUAUAUAUAUAUAUAUAUAUAUAUAUAUAUAUAUAUAUAUAUAUAUAUAUAUAUAUAUAUAUAUAGUCACUACAACAGAAUUAGGUUAUAGGGACACAUGUUUGGGACACUUUUGAGUGAGUGUCCAAUUUAUACUAAAACUUAAAAACACAUCUACUAAUGUCUAAAUAUAAAGCCCAAUACAACCAAAAAUAAAAGAUUACUCUACUCAACCCACCACACCCAGUCCAUUUGGCCCGAUUACAAACAGAAAAGUAAAAAAAAAAGAAAAAUCAAUUGCCAUCUUUUCUUCUCUCUUCACUCAAUCCACUGAAAUUCUAGACGAAGAGCAUUUACUGUCGUCCUCCUCCUCCACCGCAGCCAACGAGAUAGAGUUUCGACGGUUGUUAAAUGUUUAAAUAAGUGUUGGUAAAUUAGUAGCACUCUUUUAAGUUAUAGCGACACUCUUUAACUGUCACUAUAUACCUAACGACCCCACAUAUAGCAACACUUUUUAAAAGUGUCGGUAAUUUUAGCUAGCAGCACUUUUUUGACAUGUACCUACAUUUAAAAGUGUCGCUAUAGACCGUUUUUUUUGUAGUGAGUCCGGCUACUAUACUCUUAUGAGUACGAUCGUCCUCGUACUCAUAAGUUAUUUUCAAUGAUGGAGCUUUUGAAUCGACGAUCCAUACCGUUAAACAUUAUCUAAAGCAUUUAAAACUUAUAGAAAUCAAAUUUUAUAAUUUUUCGAUAUCAUUUAUCUUACGAUCAAAAGCUCACAAAAAUAAAAAUUUUUAAUGGCCGGUAUGGAAUACUUGCUAGUUUAACGGUAUAAAAAAAUCGGAAUAGGUUGAAUUUUUGAUAGAAAAUUCUAUUCACUACCUAGAUAAAGAUCAAUAACUCUGAUUUUAAAUUGAAAGAUCCGAUCAUCCAAUUUUAGGAUGUCGUUCGAUUUUGACCAUUCAUUUAUACCCGCUUGAUGGACUUUAUAAUGAUUUCAAAAAAUUACGAAAUUUAUUUUUUAAAAGUUUCAAAUACUUAGAUCAUGUUUAACAGUGUGGAUCGUCCAUUCGAAAACCGCAACAUCAAAAACAACUUAUGAGUAGGAAAGGCUAUAUAUAUAUAUAUAUAUAUAUAUAUAUAUAUAUAUAUAUAUAUAUAUAUAUAUAUAUAUAUAUAGUAGAGCUAUUAUGUUAUCGGAAGUAUUGAUUAUCUAGUACUUCCGACUUUUUGGCCCUUAUAUCAAUUCCUUUAAGCAUUUCUAACUUUUAGAUUAAUACUAUUACUCUGUGAGGACCGUUCAACUCUAUAGUUACUACUCAACCAUAUGAGGGACUGCAAUCAUCUCAACCCUACACUAUAUAUACUAAGACUCUAACAGUAACUAGCAUCAAAUAGGCGAAAAUGAUAUAAUAAAAAUUUCACUCACAUCUAUACUUAUACAUUAUUUUUCAUACAGUUCAUCACGUGACAAUUCCUUCUUCACCUCCCUUCCCAUUUUCUAAUUAAUAUAUUCACUGAUCUAUUUUCAUCUAAAUAAAUUGCUUUCACAAACAAAAUAUUAAAUAAGGUUUCUUCAUACUUUUUUUUUGCUUUUUUUUUUGUGCACAAGAAUGGUUCAUUUUUUGUAUUUCUUUAAUUUUUUUCUCCAUUUUUUAAAAUUGUGUGGAUAUUGAAAUUAGGAUUCCGAGAAUCGCGGCGGCACGGCAACAUGAAGUGGCGAUGGAUUUGGAGUCGAUGAAGGGAAAGAAGCGGUGGGUACGGAAGGAUCCGUAAGGCAUCGACGUGGCUAUGACUAAGGAGAAGCUCGAUGCCGACAAUGGCGGUGGAGGCAACAUGGAGAACGGUAAUGCCUCUCCGAUCUCGGCAACGCGAUCAAGAUGCGAAUUGAAUGGUAACUCUAUUACUACUUCUUUCAUUAUUAUUAUGUGUAAUUAUUUGCUUUUAUAAAUUUUUCUAUAUUUAUAAAUAUCUGUUUUAUAUUUUCUAUUUGUAUUUAUUGAUAUCUAAUUACAAAUCAAAAAAUUUUAAAACUUUAACUUUGUCAAUCUUUUAUCUUCUAAAGUAUUAGCCCGCCGCAAUGCAAAAGUAACUUCACUAGUGUAUAAUGAAUGUGAAAAGGAUGCAAAAAUGGUCCAACAUUAUAUUUAACACUUAUAAAUUUUCUUUGUAGUGGGGUUCUCAUCCAAUGGGUUGGAUUUGUUAAAUAUAAAAAUAUUUAACUUCACUAGUGUAUAAUGAAUAUGAAAAGGACACAAAAAUGGUCCAACAUUAUAUUUAACACUUAUAAAUUUUCUUUGUUGUGGGGUUCUCAUCCAAUGGGUUGGAUUUGUUAAAUAUAAAAAUAUUUAAACACCGUUCUCUGGCAGUUUAAGCUUUUAGAGUACAACGGUUGUUUCACAUGGUAUCGAGGAGGAGGUUCUGAGUUCGAGUCACGCAAAAAAAAUAAACAAAGUCUCGAGCCCACGUCAUGGGCCGACUAAAAAGUCCAUGUCAUGGGCCGACCGUUCUCUAGCAGUUUAAUUCAAGCCCACGUCAUGGGCCGACUAAAAAGUCUCGAGCCCAGACGUGAGGAAAAUUUAAAUAUCGUUCUCUAACAGUUUAAUCUUUUAGAGUACAACUGUUGUUUCACAGGAUUCAACUUGGUAGUUUUUUUUUUUUUUUAAUACCAAUUUCAAAGCCUUUUUUUUCAAGGCACUACACAAAAAAAAUAAACAAAGGGGAAUAAUUGAUUUGGUGAAGCAUGCUCUUUGUGAGAUAUCAAUUUAACUUGCCAUUUCCUAAAAUUUCGACGAGUUGUUGAUCAAUCUAAUACAAGUGGCAGAGCUUAAUUAGAGUUUAUUGUGCUUUAAUUACAUUGCUAUUAACAAAUAACUAUCAAGAAACUCAUGCUCCUUAAAUAUGUCUCAAGUGGGAUAUAAUACCAUCAUAUGUUUCCCAGUUUGGUUAAGUUACUUAGCUCCUUUUCUCUUUUAGUUGGAUUAGAUCUUAGUUACAAUUAGGUUGAAGAUUUGUGUAUAUCCUUGGGCAUGGGGAAAAAUGUUGUCCAUGAGAAACUUUAUAGUCCAAGAUGUUAUUCGAAUGCUUUUGGUUAUUAGAUAGAGGCUUGUAGGGAUUGUUUACAGAAUGCGAACUACUGUGAAACAACUGAUUACUCUAAAUAAACACUAUUUAAAUGUUAUCAUAAAUAGGGAUUUGGACUCAGGAACUUUUAACGACUAAAGCUUUCAAACUAAUGACCAAUGUUUCACUAUUCCUAAUUGAGUAUCCAUAGUUUGGUUCAACACAAGAACAUUUAUACCCGAAAGAAUAGAGUAUGAACAUUUGAUGGAUAGAAGAUCUAGAGAGCUUUAUGGUCAGAAGAAUGCUGCAAAUUAUUUUGAACCAGAACUCGAAGCUACGAUAAGGGGCUGAAAUCGUUUUAAUGAAAGUAAUUUUACUACAAAAUUUUAAAUAAACAUGUAGCACCUCAAACCCUCCCCCUAAAAAAUAAUUAAGUCUGAUAUCAUACGAGAUACCAUUGAUAUAAGUCAACGGAUAAUACUGAUGCGAAUCUAAUAAUAAAACUAAGUGCUAUCAAAAGCUCAUGCUAUCAAUAAUUCUUCAUCUUAUUAUUUAUUCAUUUUCUUUCUUUUUUUUUUUUGCGGUAAAUGAAUGUAAUAAUAAUAUCAUACUCUCGGGCUAAUGGAUUCUAAGUUGUUGACUCCCUCUAUUGAUUCAACCAUUUGGAGGUGUUAUCUGUUGGACAAUUAUAUUUUUUAUAAUAAUAAUAAUAUCAAUUCUUUUCCUUUCUCCCUUUUUUGACUGAAUAUAAUAAAAACAACUCAAACAUAUAUAAUAAUAAAAAAUAUAUACCAAGUAGGGCACUUACAGUUGAGAUGUCAUUGUAAUUAUGGGUCAUCUUCUAACUCUCUCUAACAUGGAAACUUCCAUUUAAAAACCGAAAAAUAAACAAAACAAAAAAAAAGACAUUUUAAACAAAGUAAAAGGGCUUGUGCAGAAGCCUUGUUAAUUAUGACAAUACAUGAACAUGGAAAGCCUUAAUUAAUUAGUUCUUAAUCUCUCGAAGCCAUUAUUAAUUGAAUAAAAUAAUUAAGCUUCCAUCUAGGGCAAAUGAGGUACAACCCUAGGUCAAAGGGGGGUCUCAAUGCAAAGUAAGUUCCAUAGAAAAGGACUCUUUUUUUUAGUAAACCCUAGUAGUUAGAUGUCCUAUUCACUCACACAUUUACAUUUUAUUAAAUCCAAAAGGAGGUUGAUUAAUUGCACCAUUUGUCCCCAACAUUUAUCUUUUGUUUCACGUUUGUUCCUACCCUUUUUUUUCUUUGGUUAUUCAAUCAUUAACUGAAUAUUUUGGAGCUAUUUGGUUCAAAAUUUAUAAUAUUCUAAAAAGAUUAUAUACUUUAUAUUAAGAAUAAUAAAUAUUUUACUAACUUAUUAAGUCAUUUAGGUCAUAGGUUGUUAAGAACUAGUAAUGAACUACUAAUAAGUUUAAUAAUACGAAGGAUCUUCAGAAUAUUAUAAAUCAUAAACCAAAUAAGCCCUUUGUUCCAAUUAGAUCCUGUCAUCCAUAUUCCUGUCAAUUUUGACGAAAAAAGCUAUGACAAUUUCAAGAGAAACCCUACAUAUUUAUAUAAAUUACAAUUAUGAUUUGAUAAUCUCCUGUCAAUCUCAGUGCUACCUUUUUUAUACUUCUAACAAAACUUGAUGGUAUGCCCAAGCGAUUCCAAGAGUACUAAAUGCUUCAAAAGAGACAGUAAACAUUAUGUGCAAGAUCAAGAUGGCCAUAGGCGCAGAGGACAACAUUGAGGGGUCAUUAAGAUUGGGCCUGACACGAUGGAUGCACAUAUAGGAAAAGAGGUUAGAGACUAAAAUGAAAACAUGAGUAAAGAUUAGGGACCAAUAAUAUGAUUACUUCUAAUAGUUAAUAAUUUGAUUGCAAAAAAAAAUGAAAAAAAAAACAGAAAAAUCAGGUGAACAGUUGGAACCAAUGGUGCAAUAACCAGAAAAAAAAAAAAAACAAAACAAAAGGAAAGACAUGUUUAGAGUGAUAAAUGGAAGCAAACCAUUAGAUUAGGACAUUAAUUAUUAAUCCCUAAUUAUUAAUUAUUUCCUCGAGCCACACACUUAAUUAGAAAAUUUAUUUGGUGCAUUACAGGUCAACUCCUCUAGACCAAUUUGCAUUCCCCCAGCUCAAUUCUAUACACCAAAUUGUUUUUUUGGCAACAUGGCGAGAGACACGAAGACGAAUUAGUCGGAGAUAUGUUCAAAAUAGAUCGAUCGAUCGAUCAAUGCGUUAACUUCUGCAUACUGCAAUUAAACACUCUUUGUUUAAUUUACAAAGGGUGUUAUAUCAAAUUAACUAUUUUUAGGGCUAAAUUUGACUCCUAUUUUGUGUUUUUAUCGCAAAUGAAAAGAACAGCGUUAUUGUUAUUAUUUUCCACUCAUUUCUUUAGCGAUGAAAAUCACCCCCCUGACUAAAACACAGUCAAUCGUAAGUUCAUUUAUUUUAUUUUUUGUCGAUAUUUGACCAAACAGAAAGGAUGUCGUUGAAUCGUAUCAUAGUAUAGAACAAGACACAUAGGGCUGGCAAAUGAGCGACCCGGCUCGCGUUCGACUCGAUAUUUCGCUCGCUCGAGCUCGACUCGAAAUUAAAUGAGCCGAGCGUGAACAAAAAAAAGGCCCGAAAUUCAUUUCAAGCCGAGCUUGAGUAUUACUCGGCUCGUUCGCAUUAGGUUCGAAAAGCUCGAAUAUAUAUAUAUAUAUAUAUAUAUAUAUAUAUAUAUAUAUAUAAAAUUGACUUCUAUGCUUUUAAAAGUACCAAGACAUUGGUACUUGUAGUUUUAGCCAUUGGAUCAACUCUUUUCAUUAUUUCUAACCAUUGGAUUAAAUACUAUAAUUCAGUAGGGACCACUCAACCUUUAGGGGACUACUCAACUCUAACUGACUAAUAUCAUCUUACAAUUUUUCAUCCAAGGGUUAAAAACUUGAUAGUAAAAAGAGUGUUUUACUAUUAAUAAUAUUCCAGCCUAAUUCAUAUAUAUAUAUAUAUAUAUAUAUAUAUAUAUUAGAGCUACUAUACUAUCGAAAGUAUAGAGGAUGCUUUCGAUUUUUUGAUUCUUAGAUCAACCCCUUUAAUCAUUUUUUAUUUUUGGAUUAAUACUAUUAUUACCUUAUAGGGACCACUCAAUCAUAGGGAUAUUAUUUAAUCCUAGAGGGGACCGCAAUCAUCCCAACCAUACAAUUCUUAAUCAAAUGGUCAAAAAUUCGAAAACAUCAAAUCCUCUAUAUUUUUGAUAGCAUAGUAGUUCUACUCUCUCUCUCUCUCUCUCUCUCUCUCUCUCUCUCUCUAUAUAUAUAUAUAUAUAUAUAUUAAAAAUAUAUAUAUAUAAUAUAUUUUAAUUAUAUAUAGGCCGAGUGAAUAAUCUCAGUUUAGUUUAAAUUAGGCCAAUGUUGUUGGUCUAUAAAAACAAAUCCAAUAGACAAAUAAAAGAGCAAAAUUUCACUAAAUUUAUACAUUUUUCUUUUCUUUCUUUCUUUCACAGAGCUCUAAAUUUUCAAUAUAUUUCUCUCUUUCUCUUUUUCUGUCUCUCACCCUAAGUGGCCAAGCCGGAAGCCAUCCAAGUUACCAACUAACAGCAUAUGCCCACCGUUGACUACCUUACUAUUAAUUGUAUGCUUGAGAAAAUAUACAGAAUAUUUUUAAAAUAAAAAAUUAUUAUUCAUAUCAUAUUUUAAUUUUAGUUAUAUAUGAUUGGAUAGUUUAAUCCAAUAUUUAUCUAUAUAAUUUAUUUAUUUUUGACUAAAUAAUAUGGAGAUUGAAGGCGGAAGAGAAGACGUGUGAGGCUGAAAAGAUUAGAUAUUUAACUCAUAAAUUAUUUUUCUUCAUAUUUUAAUAUUAUAUUUCAUAUAAUUAUUUUGUCUUUUGAACUAUUAGACAUAUUUUUGUAUCAAAUUAUAGAUAAUGUUCUAUACAAAUUAAACUAUUGAUCGUAUAAUGUUGAGAAUUUCAAGCGGCUCGUUUAGGACUCGAGCUCGCUCGACUCGAAAUUAGGCUCGCUCGAGCUCGGCUCGAAUUAAUUUCAAUCCAAGCUUGAGCUUAAAUUUAGGCUCGAAAUUAAUUUCAAGCCGAAUUUGAGCCGAGGUAAGCUCGCUCGAGCUCGGCUCGUUUCCACCCCUAAGAUACAUAACUCCAAAAGAAAAAAAAAAAAAAAGUACUCUGUGGUCCCCUUCUUCCACUUUGAUGCUUUCAAGACACAAAGCAACUUCGAAGAAAGAUGCGUUACGCGAGAAAAACGUAUUGGUUUUCUACGGAUAUUUUUCACGCCGUGUUAAACAAAUUCGUAUAUAUUAUGCCGACAUAAUUCAAAAUUGGCCCUCAUAUUUUCCCCAAUUAUAUGUAGCAUCAGUUGACGCGCCCACUGAUUUAUAUAACAGUGUAUUUUGUUUCCAUCAUCUGGAUAGUAACUAUCAACUUGGGCAUCCAUCAUUUUGCUUUCAUUCCAUCGCCGUCGAGUCCAAGUUUUGCUUUCAUUCCAUCGCCAUCGAGUCCAAGUCGAGCAGAGUUACGCCGUAAGACACGCAACAUUAGAUUAGAAAGGGAUGUGCUCUGUAUAGUGAACUCCUAGCAGUUGAUUUCGACAAUGUCGGGAAAUGCCUAAUGGGAUCGAAGGAAUAUCGCCUUCUUCAGAAGUUAAAAUGUCGUUUAUUUAAUAGCGCUGUCGACCAGUUGUAAUAACUGUUAACACUUGCAUAACUUUCCAUCCGAAUCUUCAAAAAUCAGUUGAGAUUGAAGUUGUAAUUUUCCAAACUCUACAAUGACUUAGUAGCGAAAAAUUCGUUCUUCGUAUAUGUAGCUGUUAAGGAACACCGUUUGGUUUAGAUCGAAUUACUGAAUCAAUUCGCAUAGCUAGCACUAGUGAGAACCGAAUAAACUGAAAUAGUGAAAUUAGGUAAAUAUAUAUUAGCCUUUGAUGACAAUCAAAUAGCGCAAUGCUUAACCGCCACUACUGUCGUGUAAAAAACAUUAACAAAUACGACUAAUCGUCUCAUACAUAUGAGUGUGAACUAAAUCAAAUUAUGUUACUACGGCAAAUUCUAUUUUAAAAAAAGUUCAAUCAAAUCGAACCAGCUGGGAAGAGAAGAUUGUAAAGAAGCAAUAUUAGAGGUUACAGAAAAACAAAAGUAAGAAUUUUUUUCCACACAAGUGUGUGAACAGUAAAAAGGGAUAAAAAAAUUAUGUGCACGAAAUCGUAGAUAAGCUAGGCUCCACAGAGCACCAUUGUCCUGAGUAAUCCCCACCGUUCAAUCUUCAAAAAUUCCGACGGCCCUGAUCUACCAAGCCGUCUUGUGGGUGGGGCCCACUUCGAUCUGGUGGCGUAAAUGGAAAAAAAAAAAAUCUAGAAUGCACCGGUUAUAUCAGUGUUAUAUUAGUGACGUGGUGUUUCCGACCAAAAAUUUAUCUGUUCUAUCAUAAUUAUAAAAGAUAUUUUCAUUAUAUAUAUUUUUAGAAAAAUAUAAUUAAUUUAUUUUUUAUGAUAUUUAGUGAAAGUAUGAUGCGCAAUCAUUGUCGCGCCCGAAACGGCUUCUUCGAAACGCAGUGAAAGCCGCACCUACAGCUGUUUUCCGGCUGAUAACGGCUCGAUAGUAACAGAAUCCCGAAUCCGUGCUUUCUGUGACUCCUGCCACGGCCACCCCAAAGUACCUCUUAUUGAAAGUUUGUGUCUUGGUCCACUUGUAGUACCAUAAUAUACUAGUUAAAAAAUCCGUGCUAUACGGACCGUCUCUAGAACAAGUGGCAAAGAGUUUGGUGGUUGAUACUGAGACCUAAGUUCGAAUCCUAAUUAAUUCACAUUUCUAGUUAAGUUUAUUUCUAAAUUAAAUAAACAAAACGGAUAGCGUGCUACCUAUCUCUCUCAAAAAAAAAAAAAAACAAAAACCCGUGCUAUACCCAUCGACAUCUCUACUUCUGAGAUCCUAAAUUCAUAAUUUUGUGUUUUAAUUAUAAUUACUAUAAAACGGUAAAAAUAUAUUUAUUUAUGUCUAAUUAUAAUUCAACCACAACCCAUCAAAAUUUCAAUUUUUAAUUUUAAUUUUAAUUUUAAUUUUUAAAUUUAUUUUGUAUUUUUUUUUCAAUAAACUCCAUAAUAAAUAAGAAGUGUUAGAAAGAAAAAAGAAAAGAGAGAGAGAGAGAUAGGAGAGGGUCCCCAACAGCGAAAAAGCAAAAAAAAAAAAAAAAAAAAAAGCCCGUGCAGGCUCGAGGUCGCGCCGGCUUCGCGCCCUGCGCGCCGGCCCGCCCGCCCACGCAACUCGCGCCACCCCCCACGCACCUGCGCCGCACCCCGCACCAGCGCCACCGGCCGCGCCUGAGCGCCCGCUGCCCGCUCGCGCCCGCCCCUCCGCGCCCGCGCUGCACGUGGCGGGCCAAAGAACUUCAAAUUCCAAUUCAUAAGUAUAUAAAUGUCAGUUUAAUAAUCUCAUAAUAUUACCGAUUUUUUUUUAGACAAAGAUUUGUUGGUUGAAUAUCUGAAAUUCUAAAUUCAAAUCAUAGUUGAUUCACAUUAAUUCACAUUUUCCAGCUAAAUUAUAUUUUUAAAAUAAAAUAAAUAAAGUGGGUACAUACUAAAAUUUCAAAUACCAUUAAGGUGUAUCAAGUUAGUAUCUUGUAAUUUUAUUUUUAUUUUUCGUCAGCUUUUUUGUUAAUACUUGUUAAAUAGUAUAUACAAAAAAACUUCAGAUAUUACAUCUAGGUUUAUCGAAUAUUUACUUUAAUACUUUUUAGUUUUAACUUUAUCACUGAUUUAAUAAAAAAAACUAGUAAAAUCGAUAAUAAAAAAAUAAAAAAUAAAAUUACAUGUCACUAAAUUAAUAUACUAAAAUGAGAAAGUAUGAAACCAUAGGUGCAGUAUUUAAAAUUUUUUUAAAAAAAUAAUUUUAUAAUUUUUUUGUUUAUAAGAAAAUAAAAAUAUUUAUAGUAACAUACAAUAUACUAUAUUUAGGUUUUUUGAGCGUGUAGAGAGCCUGCUAUCUAUUUUUUUUUAAAAAAAUAAAUAAAUAAAAAUAACGUAUCGUGAACCCAGAGAUCUGAUCCAUUGAGAAUGUACCACGUGGCGACGACACAGAUCUCCACGCGGAGGACCCUAUUAAAAAGCGAGGGGUCGCAAUGCCAAAACUAGCCCGGUCCCCGUAAUUACUCUCGUCUGGGGCGGAGUCCCCCGUAACGCUUUCCCACAUCCGCAUCCGCAGCAAUGAUAGCGGCUGUGGCGGCGGCGGCGGCGGCGGAGGCGGCGGAGCCCUGGCCGUCGAUCGAGUCCACGAGGCGUGCAUCGGACGGCGCCUCCGGAUCCCCGCUCCCGAACCGAGCGGGCUUGGUGGCGCGCGUCCCGCCACGUCGCGUCAGCCAGCCGCCGCUCGAUUUUUAAAUUAAAUAACCCCUCCCCUCCGGGAUAAGGAGCUGCAUGCAAUUUUGCGACCAGGCCCCUGCCGAAUGUACUAUUUUGUACCGCGCAUCUGCAAAACCUAUAUAUACUAGUGAAGGCCCGCGCUUCGCUGCGGAAGAUUUACGUAUUUUUUAAAAUAUUUUGAACAAAUUAAUAUAUUUCUAUAUUUAUAUUGUGACCAUUUAAUUUUAAAAUUUAAAUUUUUUAAUUUUCAAAUCUAAUCUUAAAUUUUAAACUUUAAAAAAUUAAAGUGCUAAAAAAAAAAAUUAUUUAAAUAAAGAGGAAUAAAAAAUAAUUUGAAAAUUGAAGAGAGCAGAGAGAGGGAAAAAAACAAAAAGAGCAUUGUCCGCGCCGCGCCGCACCGCACCCCGCCCCGCGCCACUUUCCUGCGUUUUUUUAUUCCAUAAAUUAAGAGAAAAUAAUUAAAGAAAGAGACAAAAAAAUACAAAAAAAAUUAGAAAAAAUGUUAAUUUUACAUUAAAAGCAAAUAAAUAGUAAUUUUGCUCUUAUUUUGGGCUUUCGUAAAAUAUUAUUAUUCAGGACCAAUCAAAUUUGAAGGGGACUAUUAUUAUCUGAUCUCAUAAUUUUUUAUCCAAGAAUUAAAAAGUUGAAAAUACCGACUGCCUUAUGCUUUCGAUAGCACAACAACUUUACACAGAAGUAUAUAGAUAGUAUUUCAUAGAUGCCACCGUAUAUAUUAGCAUACAUAAUAAUUAGCAGUUUAACAUAUACAUAAAAAUUUUGGCUAAUAUUUUAUCAAAUACAAAAAGAGAGAGAGAUGUAUAUAACUCGCACAAUUUGAGAUCGCAAUCAAAACUCUAAAAACAAUGACAAAAAAAACAUUUUGACAAUUUGUUUAAUUUCCUAACAAAAAACUCCAUUAAUUAUUGCGUUAAAACUCAGAAAGGUUUGAGACUUAAGUUACCGUUGUUUGGAAAAAAAAAGAAAAAAGAAAGAGAAAAUAGAUGAGAGUGAGAGGUGCUUCACCAACCUCUUGCAUGAACUGAACAGAGAUGCCCGAGCUGUAGCAUCCUUUGCUUGUGGAGAUCUCAUAUGCGGCCUCCUCUCCUCCUCUCACUUCCUCUAACCCAUUCUCAACUUUAUUUCCACUCUUUCUCUCUGGUUCUCACUCACUCAUACACACACACACACACUCUCUCUCUCUCUCUCUCUCUCUCUCUCUCUCUCUCUCAUCUUNAGUACCUAGAAAAUAAAUUUUGUGAUUUUUCGAUAUCAUUUGCCUAGUGAUCGAAGGGGCUCAAAAUUAAUAAUUUUAACGGCCGUGGUGAGCCGUUUGCAAGUUUAAUGAUGUAGAAAUAUUCAAAUCAUAUGAAAUUUUGAUAGAAAAUUCUUUAUACCAUAUAAAAUAAGAUCAAUAACUUUGAUCUAAAAUUUUAAUGUCAUAUCAUCAUAUUUUGUAAGAUUUUUAUUUUCAGUCGUUGAUUUUGAGCCAUUUCGAUCACUAGGCAAAUUAUAUCGAAAAAUCACAAAAUUUAUUUUCUAGAUACUUCAAAUACUCUAAAUCAAGUCUAACAGAGUCGAUUGUCGAUUCGAAAGUCCGAACAUCGAAAACAACUUGGAAGUACGGAGCGCUCCGUGCUUCCAGAAGCAUACCAGACACACUCAGAUAUAUGUACUUUCUGGAUAAAGUUAAAAAAUAGGAAAAUGGGCAAAUUUCUAGUCAACAGAGGUUUUUUUUUGCUUUUUUUUUUAAUUCUCUAUUACAUGCAUUAAGGAUUUGACUUAAAACGUUAUAAAAAGUCAAAGUUGUAGUCAACAGAGUUUUUUUUUUCUCCUUCCUCUCCUAUUACAUGCAUUAAGGAUUUGACUUAAUUGAGGUUCUAAUGGCUUAAUUAAGAUAAUAUUUGGGAUAAGAGUAUCUAGUGGAGCUAGAAUUUACCAUGUGAUGAGCCCCAUGUUAGCUACUUGGUUGCACAACUUUGCACAUUUUGUUCUCAAUCAUGGUCGAGUCGUCGCGAUUCACGAGCUUAGAGAUAGCAAUUUGGACAUUUAUUGUAAAGAUAGCAUAAAACGGUGUCAAAGUAUAAAAAGAAAAGUGAAAUUUUGGUUCGACGUGAUUAAUUUAAUACAGUUGUAAAUAGAAUAGCAACUGUCAAAGUACAAAAUACAAAUUGUAAUGCAUAGUUUCAAUAAUUUUCUUCUACCAAUUUGUUCUGUUCAGUAGAUCCCCACAUCGAGACCAUCAAAUUAAUCUAUCGUUCAUACUGUUUUGAGAAUUUUCAUGUUUACAGGCCUAUUCGUGCCUCUCCAGCUCGCCGCAUCACGAAUACUUUACCCCAAUCCUAACACACUAGAAAAACUUGGCUUCAUUAUAAUAAGAUGUCGAAUAGUUAGCAAAUCCCUUUUUAUUAAUUUACAAAUAUCAAAGUUCGCAAUAGUUGCCAAUGUACUUAAAAUAGCGUAUAACUCACUCCCCGACAAAACAAUAGUUAAAAUUUUCCCUAUCAUACCCCAAUACUUAACUAUGUUUACAGAUCAAUGAGUGAUGGGAAACGACAUACCACAUUGGACAUCAUCACAUGCAUCAUGCAUGCAUGUAUGGUGUUGUCAACAUGCAUGCACUAUUCCAUGACUUCGCGCUCCAAGGGGCGCGUAUUAAUUGAUUGUGUACGAGUACAACUUCACCCUCUUCUCUCUCUCUCUGAAUGUAUCUCUGCGUCUACUAUACCUUUCAAAUCAUAAGUAUACGAAAAUCAAUAUAAUGUGAGAUCCGCACGGUUCAAUCUUAUCGGUCCUUUUACUUUGUACAAAUGACAUAAUGUUAUACAAUCUUAUACGCUUGUACUUACGCACGGAUGUAACAAAUUUUUGUGUAUGGUACUGUAGAGAGGUGGUGGAAAUUAAAGUCUAGAGAGAGAAAGUGCGGAGUGAGAUGGGUAUGUAUUCAAGACCCGCUCACUCAAUCAAUAAGGACCCAAUCAUACGCUCCACCACUAGAAAGUCCCCCAAGCCAAAAUAAGAAGAGCGAAACCAAAGGGCGCCUUGUGAGAGAACCCAUUUUUUUCGUUAUAUUUGGAAAACGUAAGCAAAAGGAGAAAGUGCUUUCUUUAUAUAGACUAUAUGUAUCAAUUAUAUAUUAUUUUCAUGGGUUUUUUGUUUUUUGUGUUUAAUCUUUCUUGUUAUAAUAAUAAUUAUUACUAUAGUUAUUUCCUAACCUUUUCUUUCUUCUUCUUUGGCUCUCUCGCUUGCUCCCACACGUGAUUCAGGAGAAAGUGAAACGUUGUGAAUGAGCGCGUUAGAGAGAGAAAAACAUAUAUACAUAUAUCUACAUAGUGAUACUAUAUAUAUAUAUAUAACCCCCGCAGCGGAAAAGCUGUGAUCCUUCGCCUAUAAAUCACCCUUUCUCCAUGAACUUAGAAUUGCUUUCAUGCUUCUCUCCUACCUCAUCACCUUCCGUUACCCUCUGAGAAGAGGAAGAGAAAGAGAAAGAGAAAGAUAAUCACCUCCUCUUCUAUCUCUCCAUCUAUCUAUCAACCAAUCUAUCUUUGUAUUUUGCGUGGAAAAUAUAAUAGUCGUAGAGAAUGAAAGAAGAAGAGGUGAGAGUGCUGGUGAUCAUCAGGGAGUACAACCCGAAGACCGACUGCGACGCGGCGCUGGCGGUGGACCGGAUGUGCGAGGUGGGGCCGAGCGGCGAGAUGUCGCUCUUCACCGACCUCCUCGGCGACCCCGUCGCUCGCAUCCGCCACUCUCCGGCCUAUCUCAUGCUGGUAUAUUAUAUAUCUGCCUAAUUAUAUUAUUAUCUCAUUUCUUAUUAUUAUUAUUAUUAUUUUUACAUUUCCACGCUUCCCUUCAUAUGUAUAUAUAUAUUUUUUAUAUAUAUUUUUUUAUAUAAUUGAAUUAAAAUUUUGUUAGGUAGCUGAGACUGGUGGGCCGGGGAGACAAAUUGUGGGUCUCAUCCGCGGUUGCGUCAAGACCGUCACCUGCGGUAAGAAGAAGAAGAAGAAGGAGGAGAACAGUGCAGCAGGCACUGACACCGACGCCGACGCUGACGCGGCGAUGGCUCCAGUCUACACCAAGCUGGGAUACCUGCUCGGCCUCCGCGUCUCCCCUUCGCAUCGGUUGGUAAAUUAAGUUAAUUUGUAAUAAUUUUUAGAGAUUUAGAUAACUAAUUAAUGUGCAUGUGGGAAUGCAUGUAUGUAUGUAUAAAUAUAGAAGGAUGGGGAUAGGGAUGAAACUGGUGAGGAAGAUGGAGGAGUGGUUCGGGGAGGAGGGGGCGGAGUACGCGUACAUGGCGACGGAGAAGGACAACGCGGCGUCGAUCGAGCUGUUCACGGGGCGGUGCGGGUACACCAAGUUCCGCACGCCGUCCAUCCUCGUGCACCCGGUGUUCGCCCACCGCCUCCGCAUCCCCCGCCGCGUCUCCAUCGUCCGCCUCCACGCCCGCGACGCCGAAGCGCUCUACCGGAAGCGCUUCGCCGCCACGGAGUUCUUCCCCCGCGACGUCGACGCCAUCCUCGACAACCCGCUCUCGCUCGGCACCUUCGUCGCGGUGGUCGAAGAGGAGGAGGGGCUAGGGUUAGGGUUCCGGUGGAGGGGGGCGGAGGAGUUCGUGGCGGCGCCGCCGGGGUCGUGGGCGGUGGCCAGCGUGUGGGACUGCGGGGGGGUGUUCCGCCUCGAGGUGCGGGGGGCGUCGCGGCUGCGGCGGGCGGCGGCGGCGGCCAGCAGGGCGGCGGACAGGGCGGCGCCGUGGCUGGGGGUGCCGGCGGUGCCCGACGUCUUCCGGCCCUUCGCGGCUUGGUUCGUCUACGGGCUCGGCGGCGACGGCCCCGCCGCGCCGGCCGCGGCGGCGGCGCUCUUCCGCCACGCGCACAACAUGGCGCGGGGCCGCGCCGCCGUCGUCGCCACCGAGGUCGCCGCGUGCGAGCCCCUGCGCCGCGCGAUCCCCCACUGGCGCCGCCUCUCCUGCGCCGAGGACCUCUGGUGCGCCAAGCGCCUCUCCCAGGUCCCUGACGACGACGACGAAGACGAAGAAGAAGAAGAACUCGGCGAUUGGACCAAAUCGGCGCCGGCUCCGUCCAUCUUCGUCGACCCAAGAGAGGUAUAAAAAUUUUCCCCUCUUUUUAUAUUUAGUAGAUUUUAAAAAAAAUGGAAAAAAAAGUGGGGGGGGUGUAUGUUAUGUUAUGAACUGUAGAGAUGAUUCAGGGAGGGGAGAGGGGGAGUAGUGACGUGGCAAUUUUGGAAUUCCGCCCUGGUGACGGGGGGAUUGUUACGGGGGGGUGUUGACUUUGGCUUUUGUUUUGGGGGUUUUAAAAAAGGAUUAUUACUACGUAACGGUUUUUGGGUGUUUUGUGGGAGAUGGGAUGGGAGAUCCCGCGGAUUAUGUGGAGCAAAAGUUAUGCCCCGUUCGUUUGAUCUGGAACGUCCGUUUUGAAUCCAACGGCUCCCCUUUUUGGGAUUUGAAUUUCAGCUCUUUCUUUCCUAUUUUCAAAUCAUUAUUCAUCAUAUCACCGUUUUGGUAAUUUUAUUUUAUUUUUACUUAAAUUGUGUGCAUUAUUUGUGAUGAAGUAAACUACUCUAUCCAUCCAACAAAUGAUAAUUUUUUGAUCUCCAAAACCGACAAAUAAAUUGAAAGUUUGCGAUUUUGAUUAGACCUAUACUAACUAACGAAGUUUGAUACGACAACUGAGGAGACAAAGUUCUUAAUGGCCGCUAUUUAUUAUUCUUUUACGGAGCUAGUAAAAUGAAAAACAAAUUGAAAAAUUACUCCAUCGACAAAAAAACAAUGCGAUUGCUGAGAAAGGUGUACCUCUACCUCUCUACUUCAAUUCACAAAUCAAGUGAAAAGUAAGCGAAGUUGCGUAGCCGGACAAUCCAAACACCCAAAUCUUUUUAUGUGGAGAUCUUUUCCCCUAUCUACCAUAUCUCGUGUAAAUGUGAAUGUAAUCAAUGCUUCCGCAAAGUGCAACUAGAUAAUAAACGCUCACAGGAAAAACAACACAAACUAAUCGCCAAAUUAAAGGUAGCUUUUGAUCACUAACCACUAAACCACACUCAGAUCAAAAUCGCAUUAUUCUUAAAACACUUUUGCGUCGACUCUUCGAGUCGGUGAGCCCGGCCGUGUGGAGCCCCAUUAAUCCACACCACUUUCACUCAUAACUUUCUCACAAACCUUUUGACUAAAGGUAAUUAGAGCAAGGAAUUAGUGUCAACGACGCUAAUAAGGCGACCAAUCCAAUUUCGUAUUUAGUCUAAACCUACCUACUUUUGACUUGAUUCGAAGCCCCAAAUUUGUACAUUCCAAGUAAUUGCUUGAGCCUAUUAGUUGUACAUGCCUAGUUGUGCAAAUCAACAAGAUGCUUAUACCUAAACUCACCUUUUAGCAUUUAUUUAAUGCUUAUUUUGUCCUUAAACUUGUUUUUCUUAUCUAUGCAACUAGCAACCUGUUGGAUGGUAAAGCUCUCGAUCACAUUAGCAAUUUUUUUAAAAAAAAGGAUAUUGGACCCAAGUCUCAGUCAUUCUAGAGUUCAUUGAAUGGAAUUUUUAAUCUCCGUUGACAAAAAAUCUGCGAAAAUUGCAUCGACGCGUGUAGAAAGAAAUUAAGGAAGUAAUGGGUAGGUUAGAAAUUGAGUGAUCAACUCAAUUAAAGAGGAAGCUUUUAGUUAGGCCCUAUAUAGGACAGGAUGCAACCAACUUCUCUUUUUUGAAAGUAAACAUUUGACAAUUUAAACAAGUUCAUUUAUUAAACAUGAUCACAUUUUAACAAAACUAUAUAUAUGCUUACAAUAUUAGUUAGGAAACUAGUAGUACAAUCUCAGUUUCAUGUUUGCAUGCAUAAUAAUAAUAUUCUAGUUUAAGUUCAACAUCUUAUGAGAAGUUUAUAAUGGCGAUAAAGGCUUUUUUCUUAUACCAUGGGGGCAUGUUUGUUUGGGUGGAAGUAGGUUAGAAGUGCAGAGAAGGAAAGUUGUUUUUACCAUAAAUGAUUACUUUCAUUAUUUGAUCCGUCGUAAAAUAGUUAUAGUCGAAAUUCAAGUUAACUUGAAAUGACGUAAUUGACUUCAACCCAUCGUGGGUCGAAGUCAAUUACGGUAAAGAGAGGUGAAGAAAAAUUAAUAUUUAAUUAUGACACUAAUUAUUUUUUUAUUCGGUUGGCAUAUUUAAAAUAUGAUAAAAAUUGAUUAGUUAAAUUUUAAUAUUUUUUUUAUUUAGUUUGUACAAUUAAAAUAUGAUAAAAAUUGAUUAAUUAAGUAUUAAUAUUUUUUUAUUUUAUAAUUUUAUUGUUGUAUUACUAUAAUUUAUGUAUAAACAAUAUAUUUUAAAUUUAAAGCUAAUUAUAUAAAAAUAUAAUUAUAUUAUUUUUAUUUAUUAAAUUAAUUAUUAUUUAUAUAUAAAUUAUAGUUUUAUAUCAUACAAUUCUUACUAAAUAAACAGCAGAACUAAUGAAAAUUUACUUUCAUAACUAUGAAGCAAACAAUGGAGAAGAAGGAAUUUUCAGGAAACUCCACUUCAAUUCAAAGUCCAGUUUCAGUAAAACAAACAUGCUCCAUAUGUAAGUGUAUCAAGGAGGGAUUCUUAAGAACUAUAUAUAAUUUUUGGUAUUUCAUCCAUCAUGGAACACACCAAAGAUCAGAAAAAAAAAAAAAAAAAAAGGGGUGGAGAUCAUGAACACUCAUUUAAGACUUGUAGGGUGUGUUGUUGACCCUUUACCAUUUAUUCCAAAUUCCACUUCCACAUAACACACCUGAGGUACCAAAGCAAUAGUGAAGGAGAUCGACCUUUUCUGGGGUAUCUAUCAUACUUUGGACUUCAUACCAAGAAAUAUCCUGUUCCAAUAAACUUUUUUAUCCUCUCCUUUCUACCUGCCAUAGUCACAAGAGAGAGAGAGAGAGAGAGAGAGAGAGAGAGAGAGAGAGAGAGAGGCAACAAGAACAAGCAAACCCCACCCACCUCAAAUUUAGCCCACAAACCUCCAAAACUCUAUCAUGUACAAGUGGAAUCAAAAUCUCACUUGCAUAUAAACAUAGGGCUCCACAAGACAAAGAUAAUACAUAUUGUGACAAGAAAGUCUUUUCUGCAGCUGAUAUAUCUCAUACAUACAAACAAUAAUAUCAAUCUCUUGUACAUAAAUAUACAAAUAAAAUUUUUGGAUUGCAAUGCACCUAACCUCCAUGAUAAUGCAUGGCCUACUUAGUGUUGAAUAUAAAAUAGUAAAAUAUCAUUCUAUGACAACUUUUAAGUUUUUAGUGCUGUCGAUUAUUUCAUGUAUUAUUUGAGCAAUAGAUCUUAACUUUAACUCCUAUCAAAUAUUUUCAAAUCGAAACUUUUUACAUAGCUAAAGCUUUCACACACGCAUAUGUGACAGAGGUUCUCUAAGCUUGAGUGGGUGAUCGGUUGAAUAGUAUGAUCUAACGGAUAGAAAUGAUCAAAGAGAUAGAUCUAACAACCAAAAAGUGUGUGGGUGGGGGUAUCUAUCAUCCUAACCGAAAACUACUAUCAUCCUAACCGCACAUCUCUUCAUACGACAGCCGAAAACUUAUGAGUAUAAAAAAAACUAUACUCAUAAAGUAUAGUAGCCCUAAUCUAUAUAUCUAUUCUUUCGAGAAACGCUAAAAAGUGCAUAACCCUCGGUGGUGUAUAAAUUAUACAUCUUAUCUAUCCUAAAAAUUGAACUGCUUUACUAGUUAGUGAGAUAAUUUUUUUAAAUUAAGUAAAGUGUAUGAUUUAUAUUUAUUUUGGAAUGUGCAGGUAGCAUUGGUCUUUGUUUUUUUUUUUUUUUGUUUUAAACGUGGGUGGCCUAAGAGGAAGAAGCCAACAAGGUCCCACUACUAAAACUUGACAAGAGAAAAAGGACCAAAUAGUGGGUCCAAUAAUUUAUCUCUUUAAUUAAUUAAAAGAAGUUGUUGGGUCCAAUCACAAUCUGAUGAACACACUGUUAGUCCCCACUCUCACUGCUCCCAAUGGUGCUUUUGACUCAAAAAGAUACUCAUUUGGGUGGUGGACUUUGGGGCAUUGGGAGAAAGUUCUCUGUCCCAUCAGCCAAUUUCUAUGCAAAGCAAGUAAAAUAAGCCCAAGCUGGAGUACAAAGCACUUUUGGCCUUUGAAAUUGGGUUUUCACUCUGUUUGGGAGUCAAUCAAAUACAGUGGGAAAAGCUCCCAGGGAUGCCAGAAGCUGCAGCCUCCAUUUGGAUAGAACAAAAUUAGGGUAAAAAAAAAAAAAAAAAAAAUUUGGCGGUUGGUAUCCGAGACCCAAGUUCGAAUACUAGUUGAUUCAUAUUUUCAGCUAAGUCUAUUUCUAAAUGAAAUAAACGAAGCGGAUAGCGUGCUACCUAUCUCUCUCUCAAAAAAAAAAAAAAGGGCAAAAAACAGUGUGUGUGUGUGUGUGUGUUUUCUGGUAAAAAUGUAUGCAACUAAUUUGAAAUUUAAUAAGUUGUUCGGAAAGAAUUAUCUAACUUUCAAAAACUUUGAUUUUACUAAUUAACUUAUUAUUAUUAUUAUUAUUUAACUGAUCAUUAACUUUAGAAGGUGUUGCAUGCAUCCGGUGCACUUGUACAUUCGUAGAGCGUUUUUUCAAUUAAAAGAUUUUUUUUGAAAAAUAGAUAGCAUGCUAUCCGGUUCGUUUAUUUUAUUUUACAAAUAAAUUUAACUGAAAAUAUGAAUCAAUUAUAAUUCAAGCUUAAAAUCUCGGAUACCAACCACUAAAUUCUUUCCCACUUGCGCUAGAAAGUGUCGGUCAAUUAAAAGUUGAAUAACUGAAUUAACAAUGUAACAUUCAUUUAUAGGAAAGUAAGGUAUGAUAUAUGCAUGAAUAUCUGGAGGCAUCAGGUGUGAGCAAUUACUUUAAUAAAGCAAAUCAAACUAUUUGAAAGCCUAUGUAUAAAAUUAAAAUUUUUAGAAGUAGGAUAGUCAUUUUCAAAUGCCCUAAAGUUGUGGUUACCACCAUACAAUUUCACAAUUUUUUAGGGAGGAGCGUAAAUUACUUAUGUGCUUCAUUUUCUUUAUCUCCUUCACAAAUCCCUUUUGUAUUGCUUUGAGAUGUGCUAAAGUUUUUGCCUUUAUUAUUGUAAUUGGAGGUUUCGCAGAAAUAUAAUUUAGAUGGAACUAUUUAAGGAAACUCUAUAAUUAGGUUUUUCAGUUAAACUUCAACUCGUUCCCAUGCGGUUUAGUGCAUUUUUUACUUUGUCAUUCCCUUUUCGAAAAGGUUAUAUUAAACUAUCUUAUAGUUUUAUUUUUAUUUCACUAUAAAAACCUAUCUUUCAAUAGGAUAAUAAGUGAUACUUUUUUCAAAUCAUAGGACAUAGAAAUGCAAAUUAUAGGAUUAUAUAGAGUAGGGCUGCUGUGCUCUUAAGAGCACAGCAGCUCCUGUGCUAUUAAAGCAUCCACCAUCCAUCUAAAUAGAUGGAUGGCUGAGAUUAAGUGGCCUUUUAAAAGGGGAACCCACAGUUAGAUGGGUUAGAUUUAACGGACUUCUUCUCUCUCCUCUUUUUUUUGUCUUUUCUUUUUUUCCUUUUCUCUCGUCUUCUUCCCAGGCUAUCUCCCUCCCUCUACAGUGAAUGCUUCACCUCUUCUCUUCUCCCCCAAUCUCUCUCCCUCUCCCUCUCCUGUGGAAUCGUGGAGCUCCUCCGUAUCUUUGAGCGCCGCCGGAGACGCCGGAGAAGAGGGGGAGGAGGAGGAGAAGGGGGAGGAGGGAGGAGGGUUGUAGAGGCGUAGGUGUUGGGCGAGGAGGGCAAGCCGCGCGCUAGGAUAUUUGGGGAGAGUUUGGGGGCCGCGGAGCGGCGCGGGGGAUGACGACGCUGGAGAGUGCGACAGCGUCAGAGAGAUGAUCUCAUAGGAACAUUUUUUUUUUUUNAAGCAUCCAUCAUCCAUCUAAAUAGAUGGAUGACUGAGAUUGAGUGGUAUUUUAAAAAAGGAACCCACAGUUAGAUGGGUUAGAUUUAACAGACUUCCUCUAUCUCCUUUUUUUUGUCUUUUCUUUUUUUCUUUUCUCUUUCUCUUUCUCUUUCUUCCUUUUCUCUUGUCUUCUUCCCAGGCUAUCUCCCUCCCUCUACAGUGAAUGCUUCACCUCUUCUCUUCUCCCCCAAUCUCUCUCUCUCUCCCUCUCAUGUGGAAUCGUGGAGCUCCUCCGUAUCUUUGAGCGCCGUCGGAGACGUCGGAGAAGAAGGGGAGGAGGAGGAGAGGGAGGAGGGAGGAGGGUUGUAGAGGCGUAGGUGUUGGGCAGGAGGGCGAGGCGCGCACUAGGAUAUUUCGGGAGGGUUUGGGGGCCGCGGAGCGGCGCGGGGGAUGAUGACGCCAUGGAGAGUGCGAAGAAGAAGCAGCGUCGGAGAGAUGAUCUCAUAGCAACAUUUUUUUUUUUUUUUUAAUUCGGGUCUUUCCUGUUCAUAGUACAAAGCACACACGUUUGUUUUGUGCUUUCUUUAUUUUUUUUUCUUUUUUUCUCUUUUUUAUUGAUGUGGUGGGAACUAAAUUUGAAGAACGGUUAUUGAUUUGGUGGUGUUACGCUGUGUUGUUAUUUGUCAAUAAUUUCUCCGUUUACUAUUUUUUAAAAAAUUUGCUUGGAUACACAAUUAUUCUAUUUCAAAAUAAAAAUUAUUUAAUCAGAACAAAAUAAAAUUAUAAUUUUGAUAAAAUUUAUUGACUUAAAUAAACAUCAUAAUAAACCCUUUUGUUGAGUUUUCUAUCAUGCACUUGGUGAAGAAUUUCGAUUUUGAUUUGUAGAAAUGGUGAAGUUGAAGUGUUUGCGGACGUUCUCAAAUUCCUCAAACAACCAAGUUGCAAAUUUGUAAGAUUUUUCUGCUCAAAACUUCAGUAUCAUUGGAUAAAAUGGCUAUCACUGUAUCAGGGGACUCUUGUUUUAUUUGCCUUGUUGGCAAGUCGCAGGCGCUAACCGAAGUUCAUCCAGAAAUUUCAAUCUUCCUUAGAUUGUUUGUGGAAUACGAUAUCAUCGUUUUGUCACUCUCGUGCAAGAAAAUGUCGCUAUGCUUCUUUUGUUCUUAUAUCUCUUAGAACAUCUCAGAUUAUAGUUAAAAAAUCUUUUUCUCUCUUCUUUUUUUUCNAAUUUCGAUUUUGAUUUGUAGAAAUGGUGAAGUUGAAGUGUUUGCGGACGUUCUCAAAUUCCUCAAACAACCAAGUUGCUAAUUUGUAAGAUUUUUCUGCUCAAAGCUUCAGUAUCAUUGGAUAAAAUGGCUAUCACUAGCUUUAUUUGCCUUGUCGGUAAGUCGCAGGCACUAACCGAAGUUCAUCGAGAAACUUCAAUCUUUCUUAGAUUGUUUGUGGAAUGUGAUAUCAUCCAUUCGUCACUCUCGUGCAAGAAAAUGUCACUAUGCUUCUUUUGUUCUUAUAUCUCUGCUUAGCGAUAUGACUUUAGAACAUCUCAAAUUAUAGUUAAAAAAAUCUUUUUCUCUCUUCUUUUUUUUCGGGAUAUUAUGUGGGUUGGGGGGUUGGCUGCAAAAUGUGGGGGGCGCUCAAAGAUACGGAGCUCCAUGAUUCCAUAGGAGAGGGAGAGGGAGAGAGAUUGGGGGAGAAGUGAGGAGGUGAAGCAUUCACUAUAGAGGGAGGGAGAUAGCCUGGGAAGAAGACGAGAGAAAGAAAAAAGAAAAGACAAAAAAAAAGGAGAGAGAAGUCCGUUAAAUCUAACCCAUUUAACUGUGGAUUUCCUUGUUAAAAGGCCACUUAAUCUCAGCCAUCCAUCUAUUUAGAUGGAUGGUGGAUGCUUUAAUAGCACAGGGGUUGCUGUGCUCUUAAGAGCACAGCAGCCCUACUCGGAUUAUAUAAUGCUACAUUAUGCAACACUACUAUAGUUAGCCAAAAAACAUAAAAAAAAAAAAAGAAUAUCCCUUUUCCUUUACGGUAAAAUAAAAAUAAACCCAUUAAAACAUGCUACACCUCAUGGGGCCAAAUUGAAGUUUAGCCUAAUCUUUGUUUUUCAAGAUACAUUUCGAGAAAAUCAAACACAUUCUUAGUAAAAAUACUUGUUCCAAAAGACAGGAAAAACAUGCAAAGACCCAACAAAAAUGUCAUUAUAACCCAAUCAGAAAGAAAAGCAUAGGGCCUGAUUCUCAAGAUAAAAAAAAAAAAGAGAAAAAAAAAACAUUGAAGUUGGUUUAAUUUAAGAUAAGAGGUCACAUAUAAGAUUUCACUGAUUUCAUAGCAACAGUUUACAGAAUAACAUCUGGAUGACUACAACCCAAAGCCACCUUCUCCUGAUAAUCUCCUACCAAAACCAUUACAUUUCCUUUGCUCUUUCAUAAUUAAACACAAAGUUGAGGUUUCAUUGCUCAAAAUGAUUUGUAGAACAGCUAAAACUGCUUCUUCCAGGCUUGUAAAGCAUACCGCAGCUUUUACGAAACAUAGUACUUAAUGCUUCUUGCAGGCGUAGACUUCGGCUCCUCGUGGUUGGCCGAUCCGGGGCUCCCGGACGUAUCCGAACUACUAUUCUCUCCGCCCUGCCCUUUGCUCGACAAGAUCUUUCCGAGUAUCUUCUUCGGUGUCGCUAUAACUUUCGGCUUCUCGUUCGAGCCCUUCCCACUUAAGUGCUUCUUGUUGGCCUCGUUGCUGCUGCUGCUUCUCUCGCUCCCUCCGCCGCGGCUCCCUCCUAGCUUCAUGGACUUGUCGACGGACUUUAGGUCUUCAACCCCAUUCCACUCGUCUUCGGUGGUGUUUGUCGUCCCGGCCGACCGCGAGCUCCCGUAGGAGGUGAUGCCGCCGCUGUCCGACCGGCAAUUGGCGGCGGCGGCAGCAGCGGUGGCACAAGCCCUGGCUUGCUCGUGGUAGAGGACUUGCACGGCCAUUCGCGAGGGGAGGCGCUCGUUCUGCACGGCGUGCCCGCAGGCAUCGGGCGACAGCCGCUUGCAGUCGAUCAGCCCGCACAGCUUCUUCCUGUCGCUCUUGUUCAUGCUCGGGUGCUCCUGCUCAUAUUUAGACGAAAGAAAGGCUCAUCAAAACCAUCGAUCAGACAGUCCAAAUGUAGUCACUAUAUCUCAAAACUCUGUCAUUGCAAUUUUAAGAAAAAUUCAGGUUCUCUGUAUGUUAGAGACCAAUCACAUGUUUUCCGUGCUGUUGUUUGUGUUUCUAAACUUUACAUCAAAGAAGAUUAGGAAAGUGUGUACAGAUUGCAAACAAUCUGCCAUUAGCAGCCCAGUUCAACAUCACAAAAUUUAAGGGGAAAAAAAAGGUUUCAAAAACGAAGCCCACAGGAUAUUAGUGCAAAAGUAGGCUAUACCACCCAAAGGGUUAUCUAAAGAUUAAUGCGAAUUUUGUACUAAGAGAAUAUUGCUAUAGAGAAAAUUGUUAAAUACCUUCAAAAACAUAUCAAUCGCGCGAUAAAGUCCAUCAUGCACCGCCCUGGAUUCAUUCGAUACCAUUUCAGCUAGAUCCACAAAUUUGGAAAGAGGUAGAUUCGGGUCCUUCGCAACCUCCGCAAGAUAACCAUCAACCAGCUUCGUCACGGCGACCAUGGAGGCACCUGAAACUAUACUUAGGCUCUUCAUUCCCUCGAGCUCUUCAGUAACCUCAGCGCACGAUUUAGCACUUCUGUUAUCCUGCAUGACAAAUUCCUCCACUAUAUUAAGAACCAUAUCAAUAUCAUAGAUUGUGUUCUCUCCUUCCACAGUAGGGAUCAAAAGGUCGGGCACGGAUGCUUCCUCCAACUGUCGCCCAAUCCGCUUAAUAAGUUCUCUCUUGCCCGCUUCUCCACUGCCCGACAAGCUCGCAACUCUCAGUAGCUUGAGAAGGAAACUGCACGAGACCGAACCUUUUCCGGGCGGUAAUAACCAUAUAAUAUUUUCUACGAGUGAUUGAAUUUUUACAUCUCCAUGGAUCAUAGAAGCUUUACUUAAAGAUGGGAGCCUUUUAUAUGUGUAAGCCUUUAAAGCUUCUCCAAUCACCUGUGGGGAAACUCUCCCCUUGGAUUUAAUGGCAGCUAUAACUUGCUUGAAGUAAUCCAAUUCGAGUUCGCUCAAGUCCUCAACCCACCAAUCUUUGGGCACUGACUGCUGCUUCUUAACGCCGUUCCAGUGUGAAUCGAAGCCAUUUUCAGAUGGAAGCUUCUUUCUGUUGUACGUGUACGACCAUUCGACCUUAGAAGAAUCAAUUGAAGCCUUGGAAGCUAUAGAAUCUAUGCAGUGGCUAACCAACUUGAGAUUUUCGGAGAAAGGUAGGAGAGGUUUUGUGGUCUGAAGAACAAUGAUCGAAUCUUUCCAGCUUCGGAAAAUGCUAGUGCUCAGAAAGACUUCGAUCUUGUAUAUAAGAUUUCCUUUCUCCACCGUCUCGUGCAUCUCCAAGUACUCAGCUGCACACCGCGCGGUGACAACAUUGUACGCAUUAAGGGUGACAGUGACGCCGUAACAGAAUUUGGCACAGAUCUCGAAGGCCACAGGACCACCCGGGAUGUCUGGAAUGUGAAUUUCGUCACCAUUUUCAUCACCGACCAACCUCUGCAACCGAUAACUCUUGGAAAGAAGCGGAAACUGCAUAUGUUAAGUAGAGUAGGGAAGGUAUAAAAGAACCAUCAGCACCACGAAUUGAAAAUAAGGACUAAUGAGUUUUUUCCACUAAGGAAUUUUGAACAGAAGAUUCUCUUUUUUUUUUUAAACCAAAUUAUUAUCAAUUUAACUAUAAGACUCAUAGAUUCUGGAAAAAAGAUUGCACACUAAGAUAAAGGAUAAUCAUGCAUAUUGAAACAAGCCGAAGCAAAAAAGAAAGUGUGGUAGCAAAACUAUUACUAACAGGACUAUACUACAAAAGCAAAUAAUUAUCUAGAAUCUUUUCUAGCUUUUAUUAAAUUAUCCGUUGCCAAAAGAACAAAUUCAAGCACACUGCUACUGUGUUACAGCGAACGAACCCUCUAUAAGUUGAAGCUAUUAGAGAACAGUGUUUUAUAUACUUUGCAUGCAAGGCUCGUUAUUGGCAUUUGCUUACAUUAUUCAUUAAGCAUGGUCGAAUUCAAACUCAAAACCUCUUGCUCUAAUAUCAUGUUACCUAAAAGAUAUAGUUAUCUACGAUAAAAUCGUAUAAUAAACAAUAUUCUAAAAAAAUAACACAGACACCGAUAGGCAUGAGACAUUUCAUUGGCCUCAACAUGAAAUCUGGAUUAAAUGGACAGAUAUUUUAUUUUUAAAUAAUAUAUAACUAGGAUAUAUCCAAUCCAAACUCUGCAUUCCUGGAUUGAUAUGAUGUGAAAUAACUCGAGCUUUUUCAAAAAUUGAAGGUAAUAAAGAACCUAUACUUGUCUUCUAACAAAAUGAUUUCCAGGAGAGCAAACAUUACCUUGUGUAGAUGGAAUUUCACGUCUCCUACAUGAACAAUGAUGUCAGUUGCUAAUUCACUUGCCACAAUCCUGCAAAAGAUGAAUUGUUCCAUCAUUAAACAAAUAGAAAAGAAAAAUGAAUUAAAUUAGUACAAAAACAUUACGUAAUUUUAGAGUAAUAUGUAGGCAUACUACUUUUAUCAGUAAAAGAAGAAAUGCUUGGAGAAGAUCCACUUUUGUCGGCCAAAGAAUAUAUAAAGAGAAAAUCUAGUACUAGUAUGCGUAGAGUUGCUAAAAAUUGCCCAGGAACACCAGUUUGCUUGUGCUUCUAAUGUGUGCAUACGAGAAUUCAACUUGCUAAGUCCAAAGAAGUAAAAGUAACUUCGGAAACGACACUGCAGUGACCUUUUUAUACAUCAUUACACUCUCCAACUUAAAUUAGUAUUAACAUUCUAAGACUUCGAUAACUACUCGAAGAUGACACUACAAAUUAUUAAACUAACUCUGAUAGAUCAUAUGCCAGCAAUAGAAAGGUGAUCACCAAACAGGUAAUGAUUUUAUUUACUUGUUACAUAAAAUACUUCAAAUGGAUUAGCGCAAUUUCCAUUUAAAAACGGCUAUUUAUCUGUAAAAGCAUAAUGCAAUAAUUUUAUAGAAAUCUUCUUAAUUUGAAAUUAUGUAAUAUGGAAGGUUGCGAAUGGAGUAUAAAGAAUAACUAUAAUCAAGUAUAAUAACUAAAACGCGUGAUAAAUCCACUCUUCAAAUUCCUCAUAGUUUUAAUUGUAACAAUUUAUUCCCUUUAACUUUGUUCCACAUAAAAAAUAAGGCCAUUUGAUAGCCUUCUAUUUCAAAAAGGAACAAUGUGAGUAAUAUUGGUAGACUCGACUUUGUCAAAAUUGAAAUUCCAAGGACAAAAUUAAAAUCAGGGUCAAACUGUGGGACUGAAUUGUUCAAAUCAAAACUCUAAGGACAAUUGGAGAAAGAGUCAAACUUGAAAAAGGACUAGAUUAUUACAAUUGAUACUCUCAAGGACCAAAUUGGCAUCAAGCCAGGUCAAAACUCACGGAAACAAAUGUGACAAGUAACCCUAAAAUAGAAAGACAAUGGUGAAAUCAACUAUGCAGCUCACUAAUAUAUAUUCAAGUGAAAAGAAUAGAUAGAAGUAUGCAUCGCAGCAUAAUAUGACAUAUGAGGUACUCAUAAAUGAUGUCAUAUAAACCUUAAAGAACAAAAAGAAUUGAUCAAGAGGUGGAACUAUAUCUGUGGUUUUGCCGCAAUGUGCACUUUACAUUUCCGUAGGAUCAAGAAAUCAAAUGUAAGAAUAAUCCCACGUAUAUUGGUGAACAGUACAGUAAAAUUCUAUUGAGUUCAAGUUGACAGGAUCCAAUAACUAUGGCGCGUCCUACGCUUAAAUGGGCUUGGGCUUUGGUAAAUCUCUGUAACAUGCUUUAGCCGAAUCCACAAUGAUUAGAAAUAGACUAAAGAGUUAGAAGGUAAGUUUAUGUGAGGGUUUCAACAUGGUAAAUGGUAAACUUCAGAGCUAUUAGGCUCUCAAGCCAUACGAACUACAAAGCCACGAUGUCGCACAACCUAAUGUAAAACUAGCAAGACUAGUAUAAACGAUUCAACAUAAUACAUCAACACUCAAACUUCAAGUAAUCAUAAAACUAAGUUUGAAUUACCUGACAUCUUUUCCGUCGGUCUGAAAGGUAUCGGGCUUUGAUCCAAGCUUCAUAAACUUCAUUUUUAACACGAAGCAAAAUACUGCAAUCCCUUCUUCUUCACUAUAUAAACAUCAAUAACUACUUCGCUGCCAGGCGGUCCAGCUGGUGGGCAGACUUCCUGCGGACACAAAGAAUGCCGAAUACUCAAACGGGUGGUGUUGAGUAGAUACAAAAAAUCGGAAAAAUGACACAUGAAGAGACAGACUGCGAUGGGCCUAGGACCUCUAAAAAGUAGGGCACAAGAGAAUCCGCCGUGGAGGGCACAAAUCGUGGCAAAAAAUAAGACAAUUAGAGGAGACAUUGGCAACCACUAUACAGCUAAACAAUUGAAGAAACCAGAGACAAGUGCAGAACACUAAACUGACACUAUCACCACCACUCUCAUUUGUUAAUGGCUUUCUCACCCUUUAUUGAGAUCUAUUGAGAUGCAGUGCUUCUCAUGCCACUAAUAUAUAUAUAUAUGUACAAAUAUGUGCAUAUAUAAAAGGGUGGUACACAUUCCUUAAUAGCCCAACUCCCAACUUGUUGAGAUCACACAUUUAACCAAGCAACAAAAAGACAGUGACCUUGAAGAGGGAGGAAGGGGAGCAGUGGAACAGGAGACAAUGAGCAUCUUAUAUAAAGAGAGGGGAGGGGGUUUGGAGAGACCAAAACUACUGCUGUGGUUGAAGGGAUCUUACCAAGUUUGCCCAGAACACAUUGCAGGGUGGUUAUGUUAGAAUGCAUACAGUAUGAGAGCCAAGAAAACAAGUGGGACUGCAUGGGACAGCCAGCAUUUAAUUUGGAAUUUAGUAAUUAAUUUUUUUAAUAUAUAUAUAUAGAGUCGAGCUAGAAUACUAUCGAUAGCAAACGGGCUCCGUUGCCACCCAUUUGUUUUCGAUGAUGGAACCUCCAAAUCGACGAUCGGCACCGUUGAACAUGAUCUAUACCACUUGAAGUGUUUAGAAAUCAAAUUUGAAAUCUUUUCAACAUCAUUUGCCUAAUGAUCAAAAGGUUUCAAAUUUUGUAAUUUUAAUGGUCGAUAUGAGGCGUUUUCUCGUUUAACGGCGUAAAGAUAUCCAAAUUAAUUAAAUUUUUGUUAGAAAAUUUUUUAAACUAUUUAAAACAAGAUCUAUACUCUUGAUCAUUAUUACAAGACUCCUAUCAUCAUUUUUUAAAAAACAUUUAUUUUCAGCCGUUCAUUUUUGUGUCCACUCGAUGGAUAAGAGAACAAUGUUGAAAUUGUAUGAAAUUUGAUUUCUAAGCACUUCAAGUGGUAUAGAUCAUGUUCAACGGUGCCGAUCGUCGAUUUGGAGACUCCACCAUCGAAAACAAAUGGAUGGCAACAGAGCCCGUUUGCUAUCGAUUUAUUGCGAGUCAACACCCAUUAGUAUAUAUAUAUAUAAUAUAUAUAUAUAUAAUAUAUAAUAUUAUAUAUAAAAGCAAUCAAGCAAUAGGUGAAAAAGAGGAGAAGAAUUACAAUGCAGUGGAAGAAACCUAAAUAAGAAAAAGAAGAGGAAGAAGAAAAAAAAAGGAAAAACUGUAGCCUGUCAUAAUCCUAUUCUGUUAAAAGAAAUAAAGAUAUUGAAGGUGGGGAGAUAUUGCCACCUACAUUAAGAGUUAAUAAUAUUUAUUAAGCCAGGCUGUAUAAGGAAGAAUGUACAAGUCCAGAAUAGCAAAGCUGACAGAGAAUAAAUGAACACAUUUUUCUUAUAAAAAAAGAAAGAAAGAAAGAUCCCCAUAAGACAAACUAAGCGGAGGAGCAACAAGAAGAGAAAAGUAUAUAAUGUUAAAUCCUGAACCCACAGCUAGUAAAGAGGAAAACUAAAUGCAGUUGAGAAGGAAAAAAAAAAAAAAAGAAAGAAAAUCUCAAGACUAAGAAACAAUCCAUACCUAAGAACAUGAAGAGGCAGUGAAUUAAUGAGGCCCAAACCAGGCAAAUGAAGAUCCAAAACCCCCAGGAACUCAACAAGGGGGUAGGGAGAGAGAGAGAGGAGAGAGAGAGAGAGAGAGGAGAGUUUGUUAAGAAGAAGAAGAAGAAGAAGAAGAAGGAAAAGGGGAGGAAAUCACCUUAAAAGGUCACACCACUAGUGCUACCACCACCAACAACUUUAGACACAAGCAGGUGUACUCUAAAGAACCACUAAACAGCAGCAGCAGCAGCAGCUGCAGCAGGAGGCCCAUCAUGCCCCCUCCCUCACCCACACCACCCCUCUGUGUCCUUGUCAGUCAGUCUCUCUCACCCCACCACCACACCACCACCACACCACCACCUUCUACCACACACAGCUAAAACACCAACAAAAAUGCACCACAAAAAAAAAAGAGCAAAAAAGAAAAAAGGAUAAAGGACGAGAUAUCUCCUCCCAGCCAAUUUACCUACAAGAGGCAACAACAUACUCCACAGAGUUCGCUUCUCUUUACCCACCCCCCCCCCCCCCCCCCCCUCUCUCUCUCUCUCGCUCUCUAGUAAAGAGAACAAAGUUUUGACACGAGCUCUUCUUUUCUUCCUCUUUCUCUGCUUUUCAUUGCCAUUUAUUGUUUCUUUAUAGCCUCAGCUUCCCCCACCCACAGUCUCUCUCUCUCUCUCUCUCUCUCUCUCUCUCUCUCUUUCAUGGCUAGCUUUUGCUUCUCUUUAGCCUGAGGCCUGCCUGCUGACUACUUGAGAGUUUAACAAGUAAAGUGACUUUAAUGCCCCUUUAAUUCUUGGAAAAUUCCAAGGGAGAGCUAACUUUACCAGUACAGCAGCUCUAGGAAAAUGAGAGUGCUCUUCUUCUUCAUAGGAUACUAGUAUUAGUCAUCAUUACAUACUUUGAUUAAUAUAUAUAUAUAUAACAUACUUUGAUUAAUAUAUAUAUAUAUAUAUAUAUAUAGAGGGAGAGAGAGAGAGAGAGAGAGAGAGUUCGAUUAUUAAUAUACUUUUAUGAGUAUAAAUUUAUUUGUACUCAUAAAUUUUUAACCGUUAAAUUUAACACUUUACUAUUUUCACCUAUUAGAUCAUACUAUUCAAAAAACUACCCACUCAACCCUAGAAGACCACUAUCAUCAUAAUCGAGGAUUACUAUCAUUCUAAUCGCACAUUUUUUUCAUCCAACGAUCGAAAAUUUAUGAGUACAAAAAGGUCUAUACUCAUAAGAGUAUAGCGGCUCUAACAUAUAUAGAGUCCGAUUAUUAUACUCUUAUUAGUAUAGACUUCUUUGUACUCAUAAAUUUUUGACCGUUAAAACUACCCCCUUGACUAUUUUCAUCCAUUAUAUCAUACUAUUCAAGCAACUACCCAUUCAACCUUAGAGGACCACUAUCAUUCUAAUAUAUAGUAGCCCUAGCAUAUAUAUAUAUAUAUAUAUAUAUAUAUAUAUAUAAUUGAGUUAGAAUACUUUUAGAAGCACCAAUUUUCUUGGUGCUUCUAAAUUUCUAGCCCUUGCAUCUACUCCUUAAUUACUAAUACCUCUUGGAUCAAACACUAUUCUACCUACCACCACCUACUACCAUCAUCUCAACCCUACAUCUCUCCAUUCAAUGGUUAAAAACUCAAAAGCAUCACUCCCUUGAUGUUUUUUAGAGUAUUCUAGCUCAACUAUAUAUAUAUAUAGUAGGGCUACUAUACUCUUAUGAGUAUAGAACCCUUCGUACUCAUAAGUUGUUUUCGAUGUUGGGCUUUUCGAAUAAACGAUCCACACCAUUAAACAUGAUCUAGAGUAUUUGAAACUUUUAGAAAAUAAAUUUCGUAAAUUUUUAAAAUCAUUAUAAAGUUUAUCAAGCGGGUAUAAAAUGAACAGUUAAAAUCGAAUGACAUUCUAAAAAUGGAUGAUCGAAUCUUCGAUUUAAGAUCGGAAUUAUUGAUCUUUAUUUAGGUAGUGUAAUAGAAUUUUCUAUCAAAAAUUUAACCUAUUCCGAUUCUUUUUCACCGUUAAACUAGCAAAUAUCUUAUAUCGGUUGUUAAAAAUUGUCAAUUUUAUGAGCUUUUGAUCAUAAGGUAAUGAUAUCGAAAAAUUAUAAAAUUUGAUUUCUAGAAGUUUUAAAUGCUCUAGAUAAUGUUUAACGGUAUGGAUCAUCAAUUCGAAAGCUCUAUCAUCGAAAACGACUUAUGAGUACGAGGACGAUCGUACUCAUAAAAGUAUAGUAGCCGGACUUUAUAUAUAUAUAUAUAUAUAUAUAUAUAUAUAUAUAUAUAUAUAUAUAUAUAUAUAUAUAUAUAUAUAUAUAUAUAUAUAGAAAGCUAUUNNNNNNNNNNNNNNNNNNNNNNAUAAUUUUUCGAUAUCAUUUACCUUACGAUCAAAAGCUCACAAAAUUGACAAUUUUUAACGGCUGGUACGUGAUACUUGCUAGUUUAACGGUAUAAAAGAAUCAAAAUAGCUUGAAUUUUUGAUAGAAAAUUCUAUUCACUACGUAGAUAAAGAUCAAUAACCCCGAUCUUAAAUUGAAUGAUCCGAUCAUUCAUAUUUAGGACGUCGUUCGAUUUUGACCAUUCAUUUUAUAUUCGUUUGAUGGACUUUAUAAUGAUUUCAAAAAAUUACAAAAUUUAUUUUCUAUAAAUUUCAAAUACUCUAAAUUAUGUUUAACGAUGUGGAUCGACGAUUCGGAAGCCCCAAUAUCAAAAAUAACUUAUUAGUACGAAGAGCUCUAUAUUCAUAAGAGUAUAGUAGCCAUACUCUAUAUAUAAAUAUAUAUAGGUGGAAUAAUAUUAACUGUUGCGACAAGCACACAAGCAAAACGGAAAAAUGAUCGUAAAAUAGAGAAAUCACAAAACAGUAAAUUAAGAUAGAAUAUAAAAAUUUACGUAAAAAAUUUUUUACAAAAAAAAAUUACAGACGAAAAAGAAGAUAACUUCGCUAUAUGAAAAAGGAGUACAAAAUAGAAAAUAGAGCAAAAGGAAAAAAAAAAAAAAAAACCCUUAAAAAAUUUCUUCAUAAUCUAAUCCGAUCCAUACUGCGGGGAGGGAGGCCCCUGCACUCUCCGUCGGAUGUCAGUGAUCGGCUACAAGCCCAGGCCUAUCGACACGAGCCCUCUAUUUUCAUCAUAGAUAUUUUUUUUUUCACAAAUUAUUUUUUAAAAUUUAUCGUACCAUAAAAUUAUCGAUAAAUUAAGGAUAUCAAACUGAUAACUAAAUUUCGAAACACAUCUAAUAUUUACUAUCAUCUCUUUAGUAGUUUUCGAUGUCUAGAAUUUACUAUUUGACGAUUAUACUAGUACUCCACAUAUUCCUAUUUAUUUCUAGAUUUUCGACGAGGGAAGUAAUAUUAAUAAUGUACUUAUAUCAGUGCUGGAAAAGAACUAUCUACUAAUUGAAUUUGAUCAAAUAUAAUUUUUUUAUCUAAUUAGUUUGUAGCUAAAACAAAAUUAUUAAUAUAAUCGCCCUUAGGAAAGUUUAAUUUAGUUUAAUUAAAGAGUGAUGCACCCCACUUAUAUUUUUUUUAUACUAUUUUGCUUUAUACGAUGACAUAAAGCAUUCAAUUGGAUUGCAGUUAUAACUCGGAGUAUAGAGGUUUAAUUUAUCAGUAGAAUGAUAAUUACAGUAGUUCAAAAAUUAAUAAAAAAGCGUUAUUUUAGCAUCACUUAAAAAUUAUAAAAUUUGUGUAUGAGCAAAGUAUUUUUUUUUUUUAAUUAAUCUCCAUCAGGUGGUGGUUAAUAAAAGAAUGUCAACAAUUGUUUUUCACUAGUCCCUGGUCCCCAAAGUUGCACCUAGUAUUUAUUUAUUUUAUUAAUUAACUACCAAAACAGUGGAUAUCUUAUAGAUACCAUGAGACCAUGCUUCCCCUUAUUUUAGUCAAGGAAAAAUAAACAAUUAAUCUUUGAAUUUCUUAGCAAAUUAUAAUUUAAUUGAUGUUUAUAUUAUAUAUUACACUAGUAUUUUCUAAACAUUUAACUUUAGGCUCUCCCAAUUAAACUAUUUCUGAUCCUUCACUUUGGUUCUUAUUAUUUUAAUCCAACUGGUUAAUUUAUAAGCAGUAAAAUAUGAUGAACGCAGAAGCAGGCGACAUGAAAUAAAAUAUGAAAUGGAUCGAAGAUCGAUCGAUGCACCAUGCAUGAAUGUCAAGAUGCAUGGAAGCAAAAGCAAUAACUUUUGCUUACAAGUAAAUAAUUUAGAAAUUUUUUUUACGUACAUAUCGACCAGCAAUAUUCAACUUUUGAGGACCAAAGUGAAUCUUGGUAAAAAGUUCAAGGACCAAUGGUGCAAUUUAUUACCCAGAAUUUAGCAGUUAAUCUCUUAGCUAAUCAGAUGAACUUACCUAAUUGCUUACGAUAUAUGGCACUAAGAACAUGGCAAAUCAUACCAUUAAUUCUUAAAUACCUACUGUUCUCUGAACAUGAGCAAUUAAAAAGAAACAUCAUAAAUUAAGCAUGAACCUGCCAUAUGUACCAUUCAAAAAGUUUCAUUUUAAACUAACACACUCUCAGCAAUAACCUAAUUAACUUAUGUUAAUGUGAAGUGCGGGCCUCAGCUACUAUCCCUCCUCUCCCUACUCACAUCCCCUCUUUUUUUUCCUUUUGUUUUCCUUUGUCUUACAUUUUCACUUUACCUUUUUUGCCGGUUCUCUGGGAGGUCUUUGCUGCUUCUAUACUAUACACCCCGUUCAUUUUGCUUAAUGAAUAAAGCAGGUAGCUUACUAUCUUUUUCUCAAAAAAAACUUAUGUUAAUGUGCAUGCUAUUGUGUCUAGUAAAUUAUAUAAAGUAAUUAUUUUUAAAAAAAAACUUAAGCUGUUGCGUCUCCACUCAUGUCUGCAAUCGAGAUUUUUUGAUUGACUCUAGAUGUGGACUUAAAUUAAGUGAAAAAAAAAUUAAAUAAUAUUAGAAGCUUGUCGGGACUCAAACUUAAGAUCUUGUGCUUUAAUACAUAUAAAUUAUAUAAAAUAAUCUUUUAGAAAAAAAGCUUAAUUUGCUGAUAUUUAUAUUCAACAUAGCUAUUCUUAUUCAAUUGUGAUAAAGCUCCUACAGUUUGCUUCGGGGUUAAGAAAAAAUUAGUUAUUUCAGGGAUAGGGUUAAGUUCAGGGCUAAGGUGGGGUUAGAGCAUUUUUAUGUUUGGUUAAGAAUUGGAGUUAGUCCAGAAUUAAAGAAAAUAGUGUUUAGUUGGAGAAGGUGGGAUAAGAAGGAUAGUGGGUAAAAUAAUGUUUUGUUUGGUUGGAGUAGUGGGGUGGGGUGGAGUUAUCUGGGGUUAGCUAACCCCAUCCCAAAUGGGUGGGGGUUAGCUAACCUCACCCCCCUAAAAUCAUGUUUGGGAAUAAAACCGGGGUUAAGGGGUUAUCCCACCCCUUAACCCCAAACCAAGUGUUUAGUUAGGGGAUAGGGAUAGGCAUAGGCCCUUAUCCCCCCUUUUAUACCCAAACGCUAAUUUUUUACUCAAGAACAGUAGUUUUCGGUUACCUAUAAUAACCGGUUAUAACUAUUCCCACCAACACCUCCAUUUUCUAUAUAAAACUACCUAAUAUUUUUCUUAUUCUAUAUUAUCUAUCCAAACGCUAUUUUUCUUAUCCCCGGGAACAACCCAAUUUUCAUCCAAACGUUAUUUUUCUGAUCCUCAUACUUGUACCCAUCCCUAUAAUAGCUAGUUCAUGCUCAUACCCGAACCAAACGAUAAGAAUUAAAGAAAUGCAUGCAAAAUGAGUCAUUUCUCUUAUUAGUGUAGGCAUGAAUAUCAAUUUUUAAGAUCCACAUAAAAAUAAAUUGGAGGUUUUAGCAUAUAAAAAUAAAUUAGAGAUACAUAAUAUUUACGUGAUUCGGCCACUGACCUACGUUGACUGGCGAAGGCGGAGCGGAGAUCUUCAUUAUAAUAGUAGUGAACAAAAUAUGCCUCUCUCGCAAAACCCUAAUUCCAAAAAUACAGCCAAACUCUUUCUCAUCUGCUGCACCAAAUCAAUGGUAUAAAUAGUAUAUUUAUAAUAGUGGCUAACUCCUAAUAUGAUUAGGAAUAUAAAUCCACUAAGACUAGAAAUAUAUUAAUUAGAUUAGGCAUAAUCUAAAUUUAAUACAGAAUAGGGUUAGAAAACCUUGCGGUUCUAGAAUUAGAGACAUAUCUAACAACAUAUGUAUCUAUGUAUAGUUAUAAUUAAAUCUUACAACCCAAGCACCCUAGGAUUUACAAAAAUUCAAAUAAAAUUUUAGUUAAAAAAUAAUAUUAAAUUAUAAGGCAAGGAAGGAAGAAGAGUCUUUGGAUGAAUGAGAUACAAAAUGUAUACUUAGUUUAGAGGGCGUACAAAUAGAUAAUAUACAUAUUUUUUUAUUAUUUAUAUGCACGGUAUAAAAUUGUCAUGUAAGUUUAUCUGCAUAUCAAAAACCAGCAAAACAAAAUCAUGUGUGAUUAAAAAAAAACUUUGUAAUAGGUAUUCUAGAGAGGUUCUAAUGUUCUAUACAUAAUGAUAUUUGUGUACUGAGACAUGUAAGAUAGUGAAGAACCUAAUGGACGUAAUAUAAUAACUUUACGUUGGAAUAUGUAUCAAAGAAAAAAAUAGAUUCUUAUAUUUGAACACAAAGUACGUAAAAAGCUUUUGGUUAUAAGUGUUGGUAUUCUAUAUGGAAUGAUAGCUAUAAAGAACACUUUCCUUUCUAUUGGGUCGAGAAAAAAAUAUACAAAUAUUGUUUUUUUUUGACAACUUAAAUUUUUAGAUAUGAAAUCAUUUGUUUUACAUUAUUUAACAUCUUAAUUUAGUAGAAAAAUUUUCAGCUCAUAUUUUACCGAAUUGCUAAGUGUUUUGAGCUCUAAGGGGCCAUUUGUUUAAAUGUAAUUAUAAAUAUAGUGUGGUUAGAGAUGCAUAUAGUUGAAAAUGCAGCAGUUACAACUGCAUGCAUCUUAUUUGGUUGGAUGUAGUAGAAAACACUGCAAGUAUAAAUAAUUUGUUUGGUUGCAUGCAUUUGAGAAAUAAUUUUUAAAAUUUUAUUAUUUUAUAUAUAUGAUGGUGAGAUUACCUCUAAUGUAAAAAAGAAAAAUAAUUUUUGUUUAAAAAAUAAUUGAGCAGGUAAGCAUACUUUUUAUUUAAUGUUACUCUCUCCAACUACUGCAGUUUGAACUACAGCUAAUUUGGGCGUAGUUUAAACUGCUGCAGUUGGGUCUCCUCCUGCCGUUCCUAUUGUAGCAAUUAAAAUUAAAUACAUCACACCAAACACCGAAUUUGUAUUUGCAUACAGUUACAAGUGCAGUGUAGUUGCAAAUACAUACAACCAAGCAUCUCUUAAUAUAAAGUAUUGAACAUAUAGUAAUAAAAUAUUAUUCUUUAACAGCAUAAAUUUUUGAAAAUAAAAGUGGAGAUCAGAGUAAUUUUUUAUUACUAGGAAUGUCUCUUGAUAGAACUAGACCAUUUUAAUUAGGCCAGGGUCAGGAUAAACUUUGCUACAUAUUUGGCUUGGCCAUUUUGUCAAAUUGAGCUUAGUUAGGUCCAUAUUGUUUUCAUUAGUGGAUACCUACCCAACCCAAACCAACUCAACCAAAAAGAUUGUCACACCCUAAGCUAAUGAGAUAGAUCAGGCUUUAUAGAUUUUGACUUAACUGCUUCCAUUAAUGCUUUAAUUACCUGUACCUAGUGGCCUUGAUUCUUGAACCAAGCAUACCAUGCUACAAUUAGGUUAAACUUUACUUUCCCAAAUUUAUUGUAUAAUUAAGAACCCAAACUGGAUUCAGAUUCAAGGCCAUAUUGACUACCUAUUGUUCCUUACUUUUUUGUACGAACCUUCUUUGCUUUUUGUUUUCUAAUUCACUAAAUUUUUUUAUGAUCGUAAACUUUUCGAUCUUAUCGAAUAUGUCUGCCAAAUUUGGGAUUAUGAUAUGAGUGUGCUAAGGUCAGAUCAAGUUGGUCCAAUCGAACACGCAAAGGGGCCAUGCAUGCCCACUAUAUCCUGCAUCGAUCAGCUUUCAUAGUGGGAUUACUAUUUCUCGCGUAGCAGCGGCAAUAAUUGAUCGCGCAAAUCUAACUUUUCGAUUUGAUCUCCUUCUUAUGCUAUAUUUCAUCUUUUAACAAAAUAUUAUUGGUUGAUUUUGUCAUGUACGCAAAUAAAGAAUCUAUUAAGAAACUUUUAGUUCCAUUGUUUGUUCCUUCAUGAAUCUCAAGCAAAAUCCCCCAAAGCAAGGAGGGAUCCCCUUAUUAUUAUUAUAUAUAUUAUUACUUAGCAUUUAAUUAAUGAGAUUUAUAAGAGACACACACGUCACCUUAAUGUGAUAAUGGGGGACAUAACAUAGUGGGGACAAUGAGACAAUGUCCUAACUAAAGGAGAUCCCCCCCAUCCCCUUAAGAAAAGCCAUGUAUAUCCAAGAUCCACCACAUAAUAUUAUUUGUGAAAUGAAAUCACCCUCACAUGCACUUUUUUUUCUUUUUCUUUUUUUUUUUUGUUGCUUGCAUGUAACUCUAUCUUAACUCUUUCUCUCUCAUCAUUUCAAAUAAGUAAAUGAUCUUAGACCCUCCAUAAACAAGGGAACACAAGAGAGACACACAACACAAGGGUGCUCCAAAGCACAAGGAUUAGCGCUCGAUCGGAGCGCUAAUCCGACGCGACAAGAGGCACUGAUAAAGAGUAGAUAGUAGAUGCCUUAUGUCCAGGUGAAAAAUAUUGAUAUGAAUAAUCGACGCAUGCACCACAAACAGAAAGUAGGUGGAAGGAUGAUGCAGGAUCACUUCUUGUGAAUAGUGUUUCGUAUCAAAACUAAUUGAAUAACUACAAUAGAAUUAACUUAUAGCGACAUAUUUUUAGAACAUUUUUGUGUACGUGUUUUAUUUAUGCUAAAUUUUUUUAAAAAAAAAUCUGCUAAGUUCUAAAUAUAAAGCCUAAUCCAACCAAAAAUAAAAUGUUACUAAAUACUUGUUACAAACAGAAAAGGAAAAGAAAAAAAAAAUCGAUCACCAUCACCUUUUCUCCCCUCAUUCAAUCCACUAAAACCCUAGACGAAGAGCUCCCUCGCUCUUCUUCUCCUCCGCGCCGCAGCCGACAAGGUAUGAUACUGGCGGUUGCUAAAUGUUUAAAUAAGUACCGAUAAAUUAGCAGCAUUUUUUUAGAUUAUACCAACACUCUUAAACUGUCACUAUAUACCUAGCGACCCCACAUAUAGCAACAUUUUUUUAAAAGUGUAGAUAAUUUAGCUAACAGUAUUUUUUUUUACCUGUACCGAUAUUUAAAAGUGUCGUUAUAUACUGUUUUGUUGUAGUAAGUGGUGAUGCAUGACAAGUUGAUCUUGUUUUUGAGUUGAUUAAUAUAAUUACUUUUUGAAAAGAAAAAUUCAGAUAUUUUUUUUUAUCCCUCUCUUGCGGAAUAAAUAAUUGUGAUAUCCAUCAGCACUUAUGUCAAAUAUUUCUUUUCUCAGAGGAUCGGUACAUUUGAUUCCUCUAUAAUUAAUCGUAGCUAUAUAUAACUUGAACAAAACUUCACCGGAAAGCUUCCCAGCAAAAAGGAGGUGUGUGAAUUGUCGGAUUGCUGUUAUUUAAAUUUCGAAACGAGUUUCGAGUAUGAUCUGAUACGUGAACUUCGAAUGAAAUAGUUGGUGAAGUUUGUUUUUCUCUUCCAUUUAAAUGAUAAUAUGCCCACUGGCAUUCAAACUUAGGCAUUAUGUUCUGAUAUUACGAACAAUAAUUGAUUUAUUAAUGUAAGUGGUUGAAAAAAAAAAAAAACGGAAAAAUCUAUCAUUUUCCUUUCAUUUCAAAGAGUCAAUAGAAUGAUAUAAAAUGCAACUUGAAAUAUUUUAAUUGAUGGUAUACUAAAGAAAGAAAUGCGAAUUUUCAUAUCCGCUAUACUAACGGUCCGUGAUGUAAUGUUAUAUUUGGGAACCGUUUAAUUCACAAUUUGCAAUAUUUUGAAAUUUUAUUAUAUAAUUUAUAUAUAAAAUGACAAAUUUAUUACUAACUAAUCAAGCUACUUAAUUAAAUUAAAAUAUUGUUAAGAACUAGUAUUUAUUUUUAUUAAUUAAGUAUUAAUAAUUCUCAUCCAAUAUGAAAGUGAAAGUAUCUCCUAGUUCAUAAUAAUUUAAUAUUCCUGCCACGAACAUAAUAAUCUACAACGAUUCGAUUACUUCACUAAGGGGCCGUUUAGUUAUAUAUAGUUGCAACUGCACUGCAGUUGUAACUGUAUAUAAAUACAAAUUUCGUGUUUGGUUUGAUGUAUUUAACUCCAACUGCUGCAGUAGGAACUGCAGGAGGAGGCCCAACUACAGCAGUUCGAACUACGUCAAAAUUGGCCGCAGUUUCAACUACAGCAGUUGGAAAGAAUAACUUUAAAUAAAAAGUAUGCUUACCUCCUUAAUAUUUUUUAAACAAAAAUUAUUUUCUUUUGUUACAUUAGAGGUAAUCUCACCAUCAUAUAUAUAAAUAAAUAAAAUUUUAAAAUUAUUUCUCAACUGCAUGCAGCCAAACAAAUUAUUUACACUUACAGCGCUUUCUACUACAUCCAACCAAACAUGAUUCAUAUAGUUAUAACUGCUGUAUUUCGAACUGCAUACAUCUUUAAUUAUACUGCAUUUAUAAUUACAUCUAACCAAAGGGCCCCUAACAUGCAUAUUAUACAACUACUCCGCUUGAAUAUAACGAUAAUAAUUUAAAUAUUUUUAAUAAAAAAAUAUGAAAAAAAAUCUAAAUAUUGUAUGAUCGAGAAUUCAACGGGCCCUCAUAUCAAUUUGCUCCAUAAUUAAUCAACUCUUGGUUUCAUAUAUAGAAUUAUUAACAAAAGUUACUCAAUCUCCUAAAGGGAUUCGUAUCAUGCCUUAGGUCAUCUCCAUUGUCUUUCACAUUGUAUCACAUGUUUCCUCAUCGUAUUAUUCUAUUCCUCUACACUCAUUGUGUCUCCUCCCACAUCGUUAUAGCCUUUUUGACUCUUGUACAUGUACUAACUCAUAAAAGUGUUGUUUUCUACUACCCAGUUGAAUAGAUUCCACUCGGCUUAAUUUCUACUUGGUUAAUAAUUUGAGUAGGUCCUGUAUGCUAUUAGGUGUACGGAGGCUUUUAUACUUUUAAAUUAUUUUUGAUGAUGAGACUUUUGAAUUGACGAUCGGCUCCGUUAGACUUAAUCUAUUGUAUUUGAAAUAUCUAGAAAAUAAAUUUUACAGUUUUUCGAAAUUAUUUACCUAGCGAUCAAAAAAAUUCAAAAUCAACGGCUAAAAAUAAAAAUCUCACAAAAAGUGGUGAUAUAACGCUAAAAUUUUUUAUCAAAGAUAUUGACCUUGCAGUAAGUGGUAUAAAGAUUUUUUUAUAUAUAUAUAUAUAUAUCUCAUUCCGAUGAUACGAUAGCCUUCGUGCCUCGGAAGGCACGAAGGUCGAGCAAAAGCUACAACGUUGAAAGCUUAGCAGCUAGCCGGGGCAAUUUGAACUAGAUCUCAUAAACUUCAUGGAUCUUUUAUUUAAAAUACCAAAAUGCUAUAGUAAACGGAUCACUUGCUUCCCCGAGUUUUAGUUGCCGACUUUUAUUUUUAGAAUGUUUUAUAUUAUUAUACUGUAAUUUUAAAAUUUAAUUUCUAUAACUAGAACAAAAUAUAUCAUAUUUCUUAAAAAAUAAUUUUAAAGUGCACUAAACCUAUAAAGAUGUGGCAAUUUGAACGUUUGCCGAGUGAUGCCGGUAACUUUAAAUAAUUAAAACUCGGGUAAGCUAGUGAUCCGUUUACUAUAGCUUUUUAUUAUUUUAAAUAAAAGAUCCAUGAGGUUUAUGAGAUCUAGUUCAAAUUGCCUCGGCUAGCUGCUAAGCUUUCAGCGUUGUAGCUUUUGCUCGACCUUCGUGCCUUCCGAGGCACGAAGGCUAUCGUAUCAUCGGAGUGAUAUAUAUAUAUAUAUAUAAUAAAAAACUACAGUAAACGGAUCACUAGCUUAUACGAGUUUUAGUUGUUUAAAGUUACCGGCAUCACUCAGCAAACGUUCAAAUUGCCACAUCUUUAUAGGUUUAGUGCACUUUAAAACUAUCUUUUAAGAAAUAUGAUAUAUUUUGUUCUAGUUAUAGAAACUAAAUUUUAAAAUUACAGUAUAAUAAUGUAAAAUAUUCUAAAAAUAAAAGUCGGCAACUAAAACUCAGGGAAGCAAGUGAUCCGUUUACUAUAGCAUUUUAGUAUUUUAAAUAAAAGAUCCAUGAAGUUUAUGAGAUCUAGUUCAAAUUGCCUCGGCUAGCUGCUAAGCUUUCAGCGUUGUAGCUUUUGCUCGACCUUCGUGCCUUCCGAGGCACGAAGGUUAUCGUAUCAUCGGAGUGAGAUAUAUAUAUAUAUAUAUAUAUAUAUAUACAUAUCAUAAUUCGAGAACCAUGAUAAUUCAAAAACCGGCAACCUACUUUCCUACACUCCAAUUUAACUAUCACCAGAGGAUCCCAACUCACCCACCAACCAAAUUAUCAUAUUAGAUUGCCCACCUUUACUAGUUUCCUAUCUAGAUUGCCAUCUUUUGAGUUAUCAUAGUUCUCGAAGCAUGAUAGUUAUCAUAUCAUCGGCUUGAUAUAUAUAUAUAUAUAUAUAUAUAUAUAUAUAUCAACCUGACCCGAUGAUAAUCAUCGUUUUAAGGUAACAACGAUACUCAAAAAAUCGGAAACCUAGUUGAGAAAAGUAAUAAAGAUUGGUAACCUAAUUUAUGAUAUUGGGUCACCCCUGGUGAAUUGGGAUCCCCCUGGUGAAUUGAGAUUGGCUGAUUAUAGUAGAACUGGAAUGUUAAAAAGUAGGUUCCCAAUUUUUGAACUAUCGUUUUUUUAGCAAAAUGAUAAUUAUUAUAAGGUCGGAUUAAUAUAUAUAUAUAUAUAUAUCUCUCUCUCUCUCGAUGAUACGAUAACCUUCGUAUCUCGUAAACUAUGAAGGCUAUAAAACUAAUAACCUAAUUUUUAAUAUACCAACCCUACUAAUGCCAGGGGGGUCCCAACAAUCAUGGGGAUCCCACAUAUAUAUAUAUAUAUAUAUCACUACGAUGAUACGAAAACCUUCGUGCCUCCGAAGACACGAAGGUCCAGCAAAAAGUAUAACGCUGAAAUUUUAGCAGCUAGACGAGGCAAUUUGAACUAGAUCUCAUAAACUUCAUAGAUCUUUUAUUUAAUACGCUAAAAAGCUAUAAUAAACGGAUCACUUGCUUCCCCGAGUUUUAAUUGCCGACUUUUAUUUUUAGAAUAUUUUGCACUAUUAUACUGUAAUUUUAAAAUCUAAUUUCUAUAACUAGAACAAAAUAUAUCAUAUUUCUUAAAAGAUCGUUUUAAAGUGCACUAAACUUAUAAAAAUGUGGCAAUUUGAACGUUUGCCGAGUGAUGCCGGUAAUUUUAAUAAAUUACCAACCACAUAUAGCAAAUGUUCAAAUUGUCACAUCUUCAUAAGUUUAGUUUAUUGUAAAACUANNNNNNNNNNNNNNNNNNNNUAUAUAUAUAUAGUUUUUGAAUGGAUUGUUGUCAACAUGAGUAUCUAUGAUAGUUUCUUUAAAUAAAAAGAAUAUUUUAGAUAUUAACACUUUUAUAUAAACAAAUAUCUAAUUAAGGAUCAGAGAAAGGAUACUUGUGAAAUUAAUCCUAUAAUAAAAGGCUAAAUUUUAAUUAACGUCAAAUAGUUUAGCGUGUUAGUAAUUUAUUAUUUUGUGAUAUAAAAAGUUAUAAUAUAAUCAUGAAAUUUAAACAACCAUUUACGUCAAUGCGUUCUGAUAAACUAAAACAUGAAUUAAGUGAAAGAAAUAGAUUCGAACUCAUAAUUUUCUGCUUUAAUAUUAUAUAAAAAAAACUGUUUGUUUCUAAAUAUUUUAAACUACGAGAGAAUAACAUCUUAAUACUUUAUAUUCAACAAUCUUAUAACUUUAAAUUUGUACAGCUUACAACACGCAGUGUAGUAAACUAUAGUAUAUUACUAUCCUAUAAUUUUUUCUUUAAUUUUACUAUCCGUAGCUCAGUAAAACAUAACCAAAACUAUAGGAUAUCAAAAAUAUAAUUUUUUAUACUAUAAGAUAUUAAAGUUAAAAUGCGCUAAUAUAAAAUGCGAGCAGUCCAAGUUUGAAGUUAAUUACAUUACACUACAUGAAAAAGCUCACAUUGAUGAUAUAUUUUUAUUAGGGUAAUUGUCUAUAUGUCUUUCAAAAUUUUGAAUUUUUUUUUUCCUUUCCAAUAUACUCAUCAUAUGUUCCUCCAUUAUUUCAAAAUACCCCUGCAGUUACCACCUGUUAAGUUAACUUGAAUUAAACAUGAGUUUAAUAUCUAACAUAGUUAAAAAAAAAAAUCAAAAUAUCUUUUUUGCCCUUACUUAAGGGCAAAGAAAAAUUAUUGGUGAUGGUAGAAGGAUAUAUUUGAAAAGAUUAAAAAUUAAAAUAUUUUUUGUUCCCCUAAUUUAAGAAAAAAUAAGAAAAAUCGGUGAUAGUAGAAGAGUUUAUUUGAAAUGACAAAAUAAUAAUUUCAUAGAGAUAACAGCUAUGACUAAUAGUUUAUUAAUAGAAUUUAAUUUUAGAAUUAUAUUUAAAAUAGGUUGAAAUGUAAAAAAAUAUAUUUUCAAUUUUAACCUCUUUUCUUUCAAGAGGGUAAAUCAAAAAAUUCAAAAUUUUUCAAGG
Molecule: long non-coding RNA, 45108 nt
Filed under: Ananas comosus (pineapple)
Lineage: Eukaryota; Viridiplantae; Streptophyta; Magnoliopsida; Poales; Bromeliaceae
Description: long non-coding RNA (ACOM_LNC022999)
Source: RNAcentral